This 59266-nucleotide long non-coding RNA is filed under the name Hordeum vulgare. RNAcentral describes it as "long non-coding RNA (HVUL_LNC013621)". Lineage: Eukaryota; Viridiplantae; Streptophyta; Magnoliopsida; Poales; Poaceae. The record is from RNAcentral.
CGGCACGAUCUUCUUGUCACCGGCGCCACACCAUGAUAUCCAUCAACGUGUCGCCAUCGGGGUUGUCGUGCUACUCAUGCUAUUACUACUAAAGCUACAUCCUAGUAAAAUAGUAAACGCAUCUGCAAGCACAAACGUUAGUUUAAAGACAACCCUAUGGCUCCGGCCGGUUGUCGUACCAUCGACGUGCAAGUCGAUAUUAUCUAUUACAACAUGAUCAUCUCAUACAUCCAAUAUAUCACAUCACGUCGUUGGCCAUAUCACAUCACAAGCAUACCCUGCAAAAACAAGUUAGACGUCCUCUAAUUUUGUUGUUGCAUGUUUUACAUGGUGACCAUGGGUAUCUAGUAGGAUCGCAUCUUACUUACGCAAACACCACAACGGAGCUAUAUGAAUUUCUAUUUAACCUUAUACAAGGACCUCCUCGGUCAAAUCCGAUUCAACUAAAGUUGGAGAAACCGACACUUGCCAGUCAUCUUUGAGCAAAGGGGGUUACUCGUAGCGAUGAAACCAGUCUCUCGUAAGCGUACGAGUAAUGUCGGUCCAAGCCGCUUCAAUCCAACAAUACCGCGGAAUCAAGAAAAGACUAAGGAGGGCAGCAAAACGCACAUCACCGCCCACAAAAACUUUUGUGUUCUACUCGAGAAGACAUCAACGCAUGAACCUAGCUCAUGAUGCCACUGUUGGAGAACGUCGCAUGGGAAACAAAAAUUUUCCUACGCGCACGAAAACCUAUCAUGGUAAUGUUCAUCUACGAGAGGGGAUUUCCGAUCUACGUACCCUUGUAGAUCGCACAGUAGAAGCGUUAGUGAACGCGGUUGAUGUAGUGGAACGUCCUCACGUCCCUCGAUCCGCAACGCGAACCGUCCCGCGAUCCGUCCCACGAUCUAGUGCCGAACGGACGGCACCUCCGCGUUCAGCACACGUACAGCUCGACGAUGAUCUCGGCCUUCUUGAUCCAGCAAGAGAGAUGGAGAGGUAGAUGAGUUCUCCGGCAGCGUGACGGAGCUCCGAAGGUUGGUGGUGAUCUGAUGGAAACGCGAUCUAGAGGUAAAACCGUGGAGGUAUGUGGUCGGGCUGCCGUGGAAAAGUUGUCUCAAAUCAGCCCUAAUUGCUCCAUAUAUAUAGGAGGAGGGAGGGGAGGCUUGCCUUGAGGCUCAAGGAGCCCCAAGGGCUGCGCACCAAGGGGAGGAGGAGUCCUUCUCCAAUCCUAGUCCAACUAGGAUUGGAAAGUGGAGUCCUUCUCUCCUUUCCCACCUCCUUUUUUUCUUUCUCUUUGAUUUUCUAUCCUUGGCGCAUAGGGCCCUCUUGGGCUGUCCCACCAGCCCACCAAGGGCUGGUGCGCCACCCCAAGGCCUAUGGGCUUCCCCGGGGUGGGUUGCCCCCCCCGGUGAACACCCGGAACCCAUUCGUCAUUCCCGGUACAUUNNNNNNNNNNNNNNNNNNNNNNNNNNNNNNNNNNNNNNNNNNNNNNNNNNNNNNNNNNNNNNNNNNNNNNNNNNNNNNNNNNNNNNNNNNNNNNNNNNNNCGACUCUGUCACAUGAAAACACCUCUUGAACUUUUGUUGAAUGAAAUCCCUGAUUAUACGUUCUUCAAAGUUUUUAGGUGUGCUUGUUGGCCACAUCUUCGUCCAUACAAUCAACGCAAAUUUGGAUUUCGAUCUAAACAGUGCAUGUUUCUUGGCUAUAGUUCUCUUCAUAAAGGGUACAAAUGUCUUCAUGUUCCCUCUAACCGCAUAUAUAUCUCUCGUGAUAUGGUGUUUGAUGAGAAUGUUUUGGCCGCAUCGGGGUGUGCAUCGUGGCCGCAGAGGAUGGGGAGGGAGGGCUGGCGGCCAUGGCGGGCCAGGAGGAAGCCGCGGCCUAAGGUGGCACGGUGCCAGGUGCGGCAAAAGGCACGACAGAGAAGCAGGGCUUUGGGGGGCAGGCGGACGAGUAUCUCUCAUAUCAUGAUGUCGAGAUGCCGCGGUGGAGAGGCGUCGGUCGUGCCCUUGCGGACUUUGCCAUGGUAUACAAGUGAAACGAAAGCAGUAGAUUUAUUUUCUUCUUUGUAUAAACAAUGGGCAGUGCUACGCGUUCAUCGGACGAUCUUUUUAAAAGAUCGGCCCGAUUACGAGUCGUUGGAUAUAGCAUCAUCGUGCGGACGUGCUACGUCUUCCACCGCCGCAACAAAGUUGGUGUUGCGGGAACUUCUACAACGUAGGUAUUGUUGCAGAAACUUCUCACGACGGUGACGACCUCUCAUGCCCAGUCGCUCCUUUAUGAAGACACUUGUACCCUUUAUGAAACACAUGCUUUCUCAUUAAUCGACUACCUACAUGACUAGGUUUUGGACAUUUUUGCCCCUAUGUUCACUGCUCCCUUACCCCUUCGUCCUCCUCGAGCUCACUUGCACAAAUAAACAGAGAGUGGGAGAGCUUGUGAAGAACAGAUCAACAACCACCGUGGGAGAGGCCUGAGCGGGAGGAGAAGAUGCGGACGCCGAGCGUCCCGUCGUCGAACUCGUCGACGGCGGCUGGUUCUAGUGUCGUAGAGGUAAGUGAAGCACUCCAUUCACAUUUCAUGUUGGAAUUAUGCCCUAGAGGCAAUAAUAAAUAUAGUUAUUAUUAUAAUUCCUGUAUCAAGAUAAUCGUUUAUUAUCCAUGCUAUAAUUGUAUUGAAUGAAGACUCAUUUACAUGUGUGGAUACAUAGACAAAACACCGUCCCUAGCAAGCCUCUAGUUGGCUAGUCAGUUGAUCAAAGAUAGUCAGUGUCUUCUGAUUAUGAACAAGGUGUUGUUGCUUGAUAACUGGAUCACGUCAUUAGGAGAAUCACGUGAUGGACUAGACCCAAACUAAUAGACGUAGCAUGUUGUCGUGUCAUUUUGUUUGUCUACUGUUUUCUUGCGUGUCAAGUAUUUAUUUCCUUACUGACCAUGAGAUCAUAUAACUCACUGACACCGGAGGAAUGCUUUGUUGGAAUUAUGCCCUAGAGGCAAUAAUAAAUGUAGAGUUAUUAUUAUAAUUCCUGUAUCAAGAUAAUAGUUUAUUAUCCAUGCUAUAAUUGUAUUGAAUGAAGACUCAUUUACAUGUGUGGAUACAUAGACAAAACACCGUCCCUAGCAUGCCUCUAGUUGGCUAGCCAGUUGAUCAAUGAUAGUCAGUGUCUUCUGAUUAUGAACAAGGUGUUGUUGCUUGAUAACUGGAUCACGUCAUUGGAAGAAUCACGUGAUGGACUAGACCCAAACUAAUAGACGUAGCAUGUUGAUCGUGUCAUUUUGUUGCUACUGUUUUCUGCGUGUCAAGUAUUUAUUCCUAUGACCAUGAGAUCAUAUAACUUACUGACACCGGAGGAAUGCUUUGUGUGUAUCAAACGUCGCAACGUAACUAGGUGACUAUAAAGAUGCUCUACAGGUAUCUCCGAAGGUGCUAGUUGAGUUAGUGUGGAUCAAGACUGGGAUUUGUCACUCCGUGUGACGGAGAGGUAUCUCGGGGCCCACUCGGUAAUGCAACAUCACACACAAGCCUUGCAAGCAAUGUAACUUAGUGUAAGUUGCGGGAUCUUGUAUUACGGAACGAGUAAAGAGACUUGCCGGUAAACGAGAUUGAAAUAGGUAUGCGGAUACUGACGAUCGAAUCUCGGGCAAGUAAUAUACCGAAGGACAAAGGGAAUGACAUACGGGAUUAAACGAAUCCUUGGCACUGAGGUUCAAACGAUAAGAUCUUCGUAGAAUAUGUAGGAUCCAAUAUGGGCAUCCAGGUCCCGCUAUUGGAUAUUGACCGAGGAGUCUCUCGGGUCAUGUCUACAUAGUUCUCGAACCCGCAGGGUCUGCACACUUAAGGUUCGACGUUGUUUUAUGCGUAUUUGAGUUAUAUGGUUGGUUACCGAAUGUUGUUCGGAGUCCCGGAUGAGAUCACGGACGUCACGAGGGUUUCCGGAAUGGUCCGGAAACGAAGAUUGAUAUAUAGGAUGACCUCAUUUGAUUACCGGAAGGUUUUCGGAGUUACCGGGAAUGUACCGGGAAUGACGAAUGGGUUCCGGGAGUUCACCGGGGGGGGGGGGCAACCCACCCCGGGGAAGCCCAUAGGCCUUGAGUGUGGCACACCAGCCCUUAGUGGGCUGGUGGGACAGCCCAAAAGGGCUCUAUGCGCCAAGAAGAGAAAAAUCAAGAGAAAAGAAAAAAAGGGAGGAGGUGGGAAGGAAGGGGGACUCCCUCCCACCAAACCAAGUCCAACUCGGUUUGGGGGGGGGAGUCCUCCCCCCUUGGACUCGGCCGACCCCCUUGGGGCUCCUUGAGCCCCAAGGCAAGGUCCCCUCCCUCCCACCUAUAUAUACGGAGGUUUUAGGGCUGAUUUGAGACGACUUUUCCACGGCAGCCCGACCACAUACCUCCACGGUUUUUCCUCUAGAUCGCGUUCCUGCGGAGCUCGGGCGGAGCCCUGCUGAGACAAGGUCAUCACCAACCUCCGGAGCGCCGUCACGCUGCCGGAGAACUCUUCUACCUCUCCGUCUCUCUUGCUGGAUCAAGAAGGCCGAGAUCAUCGUCGAGCUGUACGUGUGCUGAACGCGGAGGUGCCGUCCGUUCAGUACUAGAUCGUGGGACUGAUCGCGGGAUUGUUCGCGGGGCGGAUCGAGGGACGUGAGGACGUUCCACUACAUCAACCGCGUUCACUAACGCUUCUGCUGUACGAUCUACAAGGGUACGUAGAUCACUCAUCCCCUCUCGUAGAUGGACAUCACCAUGAUAGGUCUUCGUGCGCGUAGGAAAAUUUUUGUUUCCCAUGCGACGUUCCCCAACAUUUCACCCCCUCGUUCUAGGGUUUCUCUGAUUUGGGUAUUUUUUUUUGAUUUUCUGCUAAUUUAUAUCGAUGGGAUGGUGAAGGUGGAGCUCGUCUCGGAGUACCAUCACCUGGACGAAUCAUUUUCUGGCUUGGAUACUAGAUCUAAGCACUGUUGUCGUGGACAUGGCCUAGUUCUUGCUCGUCGUGUGGCUUGGGGAGGGGCUAGCGUUGGCCGAUGAUUUUUGGGAUGCCCUCUUGAUGUAGUGAGUUUCUUGUCAAUUUGAGAGGUUGCUGUUAUAUUGAAAUUUCUAAUUUUUUCAUCUAAUUAGUUGCCACAUGAGUGCAAGUGGGUGGUUUGGGUUGACCCUCCUCCUCAACUACGUGUGGCCCUUGCAUUUGAUGAUCUACAUGCACAGAUUGAACGUAGCUGGAUCAAGUCUCAGAAAUUGUAGAGGGAAAAUAUGGAGCUGACAAAGAAGAACCAUGCUUUGAAGAAGAAACUGAAGGAGAGAGAUGAGAUGCUCAAUGUUUGUGCAGUGUUAUUUACUAGAAUUGUUGUAUGUGUUGUAGCUGUGGCCUUCUUAGUGUUUUCAGAGAAUCAAGCUACUAAAUGAAGCAAGUAUGUUUGCUCUUGUUGUAGUGCAUGAGAUGAACUUUGUAAUGUACCAAUCUUAAUGUAAUGCCAUUUUGUCCUAUUUGGUGUUCUAAAUUUCUACAGUUUGGUUCAUAUUGAUAUAUGACUAGUGAGAUGACCAAAUAUUUGGUUCAUAUUGAUAGAUGACAUAAUAGGUUAAAGUUCAACAACUUCAAAUUAAAUCAUGACAUGGCAAGCAUCACAUAUGAUCAAACAAGUUCAACAACUUCAAACUAGUUCAUCACCCAUAGUAGUUCAACAAUAGUUCAUCAAGUCACCUACUAGCUCAACAUGAAGACACCUCAAACAGUAGUUUAACAACAAGUGACAAUACUAGUUCAACAUAAAGUCAUCUCAAACAGUCACCAGCAAGUGCAAAUGAACAACUAAAACUUGAGUUUUUUGCUCCUGGUGUUCUCAACUAGAUUGGGGACUAGCCUUGAUUUUCUUCUAGUGUUUUUUGCUGGGUUGGGGGCUAGCACACCAGGAACUUCAAUUGUUAUCGUGUGCUUCUUAGCUGGAGAAGCUCCUCUAACUUCUGCCCUCUUAUAAUUCUUUCUUGGGCUGUGAAAAGUGCAAGCAUGUCAACUUUUAGAUGACAAUGCAUGAAAAAACAUAAAUACACAAAGAUACAUAAACAUCACCCGAGUACACUAGCUUGUGGUGGCUCUUGUGGCGGAUCUUCUGCAUCUGUUCCAUCUUAUUCUUCCACUACUGCCACUUAAAGUGCUCGCUCUUCUGCAUUUUGUGCUCCCUAGUGUUCAUCUUCACCAAAAGCUGCAUCAACUGAAUUUUUUCACUUGUUGGCAUGGUGUCCUAGUCCUCCACACCUGCCACAUUUUUUCUUCCUAGUCCCUAGUCCUUUUCCUUCACUACUGGACCUAAUUCUAGUUCUCCUAGGACUGCCAGGUGUUGUGUUUUGAACUGGAGCACAAAGUUUAAAUCCUGGAUUCAUAAUUCCCAGUAUUGCUUGCCUUCUAGAGAUGGAAGGUUGACAACAUAAGUAGCUCUGAAUUUCUCCAGAGAAUUAAACUUGUGCACAUACUGAUCAAUUCCACUAGCUUCACCUCUAAGAGAAGUGAUAAAGAACAUAACAUGGAUACAUGGCUUACCAGUUACUUGCCAUUGUCUGCAACAACAAGACCACUACUGUAAGUCAACACCGUACCUCCAUUCUCUUUUUUCUCUAUAAGUAGCAGUAACUUCGGCCUCUCUUGGGCUUCUUCUAAUCAAGCUCAUCUCUAAACCUUUUGUCUUUGCCAUUAAGGCCUUCAUCACAGACGUAACAAUGAGAUGACCUUCAAAAUGAUCAAUGACAAACAUGUUCCUUAUAUCAAAUUUCUGCAUAAUGUACUGCCUGAUCUUGUCACACAAGUCUACUAUGUGAAGCCCCUUGUAUUUCUUGAUCCUUGAGUUGAAAGCUUCAGCAAGGUUGUUGUUCACAUAGUUUACCUUGCAAGUAUCAUUGAUGUGUGCUCUAGCCCAUAUUUUUGUGUGGUGCUCCUCUAAAUAUUCUUUAACUUUGGGCCUGCUGCGCAAGUGAAUCAGAUGAUAGUUGUGUUUCUUAAUGUUGUAUGUAAGUGAGCAUGGCCACAAAUUUUCAUCAUAGAACUUGCCUUUAAAUUUCUUUGUGAAGUUUUGAGCCAAAUGCCUCAUACACUCCCUGUGCUCCACUCCAGCAUAUACUUCAUCAAUAGUUGUCUCCAAUCCUUUGCAUGCAUCUGUAUGUAUGACUAAACCUUCAGGAUGUCCUAUUUGUUUCUUUAGUUGUUGGAAGAACCAAUUCCAGCUCUCAAUUCACUCUACUUCUAUGACACCAUAUGCAACUGGUAAUAACUAGUUUUGUGCAUCAAGGGCGCAAGCAGAAACAAGCUGGCCCUUGUACCUACCAUUCAGUGCAGUUGCAUCCACAGCAAGGUAAGGCCUGCACCCCUCCAAGAAACUUUCUGACAUGCCUUGAAGCACACAAACACUCUUCUGAAACACUCCAUGUGCAGUUUAUUUCCUCUCAAUGAGUAUUACACAAUGUGCUUGUCAAUUUCAACUACACUACAUAGUGACGUUCUCUCAACUUCAGCCUUGAAUAAAGCAGAUUGAAAGUAUCACUGUACUUGCCAAACAUCUUGCCUAGUGCCAUUUCUUUACCAAAAUAACACCUACUAUAUGGCACCUCCACUCCAUACUUCUCUGUCAACCUGUGCUGAAUUUCCUUUGGAACUAUGCAUGGAUUAUUUCUAAUCCAAUCCAUAGAAGCAUCUGCUAUCCAUCUUCUCUUUGAAGCCCUCAAUCUCUGAGAUCUGUUAACACUAGGACAGUUGUGAGGGUAAGGGUUGACCUUAAUCUGCUAAAAAAGAAUAAACAAUUAGUAAAUGCAACAUAAAUUUUGAAUGCAUUAGUACCUGAAAUAAUGUGCUUCUCCUCAUUAAAGAGGCAUGCAACCUCCACUUACAUCUAUCAGUGGCACAUUUCACAAAUGUACUCUGUUUCGGUGCUAAUUGAGAAAGUUGCAACUGCAUUUCUGCCGUCAACAACUGAAGGAAAAAAACUACACCUUCCCCAAUAGAGGGAUUAUCUUUGUCAUACAUUAUAAUAGGUUUGUCCUCAUCUUCAGUUUCAAAUACUCCAUUAUCUAGGUCCUCCUACUUCUCGUCUUCAUAUGUAUCUGAGAAUUCAGUAGGAAUGUACUCCUCAUCUACAUGAUCUUCCUCAUUGUUGUGCUGAGCAUAGCGUGGAUAAAGUUUCUCAUCUUCUUCAUCAGAAAAAGUGCUGCAUCGGGCUCUGCUUCCUCCACAACAGGAUCAACUGGUAUGCUAGUUUAGCUUUGGUUUUACUGCAAGAAUGCUCAGAGUGAGCAUUUGCACUUGGAGUUGUAGGUGGCCUACAACUGCUACUUGUUGCCCUUGUAUUACUCCUAGAUUUUGCAGAUGCUUUAGAACCAGAGGGCCUUGAACCAGUGGGAUUUGAAUUAUUUUGUGAUCUAGGUCUCUCAAUAACAGUGAUUUCCAGAUUGCAUGACAUGGUUUGUGCAUUAUUUGCAACCACGACACUGAUACGUCCAUUUUGCAUCAUGCUUUCAUGUUGAUAUUUAUCGCUUUAUGGACUAUUAUUAUACUUUAUGGAACCUUACUUAUGCCUUUUCUCUCUUAUUUUGCAAGGUUUACUUGAAGAGGGAGAAUACAGGCAGCUGGAAUUCUGGACUGGAAAAGGAGCAAGUCUGAGUCCUCUAUUCUGCGCAACUCCAAAUGCCUUGAAAAUCAACAUGGAUUUUUUGGGGAAUAUAUAAAAAAUAAUGGGCGAAAGAAGUGUCACAGGGGAGCAACCAGGGGCCCACAAGCCUGGUUGCCGCGACCUACCCACGUGGUCGUGGCAACAGGGCUUGUGGGCACCCUGGUUGCCCACUGGCCCCCUCUUCUGCUAUAUGAAGGGUUUCGUCCGGAAAAAAAAUCAGGGUGGAGCUUUUUCAUGGAUUCGCCGCCGCCACGAGGCGGAACUUGAGCAGAUCCAAUCUAGAGCUCCGGCAGGACGAUCCUGCCGGGGACACUUCCCUCCCGGAGGGGGAAAUAGUCGCCAUCGUCAUCACCAACACUCCUCUCGUCGGAGGGGAGUCAUCUCCAUCAACAUCUUCAUCACCACCAUUGCUACUGCAACAAAAGACCUUCCAACGGCGCCAGAAAUAGGUGUGUCGACGGCACCAGGAAUCCUUCUCCUACAGCUAGGCCUUAAGGGACUUCCUAGGAAAAUAUGCAAAGGAUUUCCCCCGUGGCCUUGGAUCCUUGCGUUGGUGUUCUCUCGAAGCGGAAAGGGUGAUGUAGCGCAGCGGUGGUAAGUAUUUCCCUCAGUUUGAGAACCAAGGUAUCGAUCCAGUGAAGGAGUAUCACAAGAGCCUGCACAAACACAAAAAGCUUNNNNNNNNNNNNNNNNNNNNNNNNNNNNNNNNNNNNNNNNNNNNNNNNNNNNNNNNNNNNNNNNNNNNNNNNNNNNNNNNNNNNNNNNNNNNNNNNNNNNGGGGUGGAGAGAGAGAGAGUGGGCACGGGAGAGAGAGUGGCCUGGGAGGGGGUGGGGGUUAAUUUUUUUAUUGUAGUGGCGCACCACCUAUGAAUGCGCAUGGUUACUAAUGGCGCACCAGCUGGUGGUGCGCCAUUAGUAGUUUUGCAAAAAAAACAUUUUUUUAUAGUAGUGGCGCACCACCUACAGAUGCGCCAUUAGUAACCCUGGUUACUAAUGGCGCACCAGCUGGUGGUGCGCCAUUAAUAGUUUUGCAAAAAAAAAAUAGUAGUGGCACACCGAGUGUGUGGUGCACCAUUAGUGUCCAUCACUCUAAUGGCACACCUGCACAUGGUGCGCCACUGCUAUAUAGUAGUGGCGCACUACUUGUCUGGUGCGCCAUUAGUGUCUAAAUCAUCUAUAGCCCUUUUCCUAGUAGUGCCAUUAAAACCUAUCAUCUAAAUCCCCUUUAUUUACCCAGCCGGACGGUCACCACUUACUCACCACCACUUACCCUACCCUCUUUGUCUCUCACUCUUCCUCCUACCCAUCCCCAUGAGCUCCAACAACAACUCGAGCCCCAUCUCCAACCCCUUUCCUUGGGGCAUUGAAUGAAGGGCUUUUUACCUAAGGUUCUCGCUCGGUGAUCGCACCAAGUUCGAGUACACCAUGAAAGUAUGCUCAAACUUCAACUAAAUGGAAGAUCUUCUAAAAGAGAGCUAUGGUGAAGAAGGCGACAUCGAUGAAGGUGAAAUGCUGAUUCCUGACCCAACGAAGGGCGCUAUGUUAGUCGACAUACUACGUUGGGCCAUGAAUCAGGCCGACUCCGGCGAUGAUCGACAGAGGGCAAAGUGGGCCAAGUACAGAGAGUACCGGCAUCCUCAUGACCAUCGUGCCGCAGUGUACUUCACCACAAGGAUUGUGAGGCUCCUCCUCUCCUAGAGAGGGAACAAGAAACCAUGGCGAUGGAGGUAGAAGAAUAAGAUGAAGUGGCAUGGUUGUAAGGGCCAUAGAGCCAGGACGCCGAAGCAUGCCAAUUGAGUUAGACUCCGGCGAGGAAGAAGAGACGAUGGUGAAGGUCGAGGAGAAGAACAAGGACAAGGUCACAUGCCGCUCCAACCGCCUCUAGGGUCGCCAUGUCUAAGAUCUGAGACUAUUGUGUAAAACUAACCCGUAAUCUCAAUUCCUCUUGUACUCAAUCCGGACGGGGAACCUCAAGAUCUGAGUCAUGAUGAUGCUAUUUAUCCUGAUUCCCCAUUACCCUAACACAGAUCGAACUUAAAUGUGGAUCGAAUGUGAAAUAGUACGUGGGAACGGGAAAAAGUGCUUAAUGACAUUGCCGAACUGCUGUCACGGAUAUCGGUGAAGGGACGGAUGUCAACUUGCUGUUCUCCGAGCAGAUGAAUGUCGCUCCUAUCGUCGGUGAGAGUGGGAUAAGGGAGGUGGGAGAAGGGAGAUGGGAGAAAAGGCGGUGAGGGAAGAUGAGGAUAAUAAUUGCCGACGCUUCAGGAAGCAAUGCGGCUUCUCGAGCGUGGCUCCUUGCGUGCAGCCACUGCCCAUGUGCAACACCCGGGACUAGCUCUAGAGAAACUGCAGAUCCAAGCAUAGCUCGCGGGCCUGUCUCGGAGGUGCUUUAAACUUCGUAUGGUGCAUACCCAACCUUGUACAUAGGUAACCAAACAACCCAGUUUCUUCCCACGCCAGCAUGGUUGGACCUAAUGCGGGCAACCAAACACGCCCUUUGUGAUUUCCUCUCUUGUGUGUCUAGAGUUAACGCAUUUUUCUUGUGUGGUAUCCAAACAACAGUUUUGGAGUAUUCUCGUAUUUUGGAUUCAUGUAGGAAUCCAGCACAUGACAUCUCAAUUCCUUCGUUUUUUAGUUCUUGCAUUGGGGAUGAGGCCUAAAUCAGAUGCACAUAUAUAAGACUACAUAUAAGGACAUGACAUAUUGGCUCUGAUGCUACAAAGUCACCUUUGAGAGACAUGUUGUUCACUCCCUCGUGGAGGUUAUCUUCACUGCUUGUUCUUUCAUGUCAUAUUGGGCAGGACCGUUGAAGGAAGGCGACAAGGUGGAGUUCCAGACAGGUGUGAAGCGGUUGGCUCGUGUUGCAGCAAGUCUGGCGGAUGGACAACGUGCUCGUGGGAGGCUCCUGCUGGGGGAUGGUGAUGGAAUUCGCUCCAGCUAAUCUGGUGUUUAUAUGUCGUAGCCUCAUUUUGCAAUUACCCACAGGGGUUUGAUGCCCGCUGGUUUCAUGUAGUCAUCUUUAGACCCUUUGGAUAGUUUGUCUCUCAUGCUGCCUGAGAGGUGGUAGCUAGCCACGUGCUUAAUGGUUUUAGGGAUGCUGGUUUAAGUGUCGACAUGUUUUUGCCCCGUGGAGGAUGAUCCGUUGCAGGAUCAUUUUCAGUGGGUUUCCUGUCGAUGCGCCAACUCGCUUCUCCCCUUUUAGUCUCAUGUUUUAAUCGGUCUUUUUUAGUUCUAUGCAUGAUCUUUGAAUGAUGUUACAUACUGAUGUAUUUCCGUUGGCUGUAAAAUUAAUGGAAAGGGUUGUGAGCCCGGUUGGAAAAAAUAUAAGGACAUGACAUGUAGGAAUUCUAGAUGUUACUUCAUGGGGUUCCUAUACUUAAAUGCGCAAUGCCUUAUGGAGUAGCUGCCACUAAUGAGGUGAAUAAUGCCCACUCUUUGUUUACCACCUUAUAUAUGCAAAUGUGAACAAUUAGUGACACAACGUACUGAUGCAUGCAUCGACGAAGACUUACUUUUGUGCCUUUAAAGUAAAUUAUGUUAAUCUUCAAUAUAUUUUGGAUGAGAAGAUUUGCUAUUUUUUGUUCGUUCCAUUUUGUAUGCCAAGUUGAGGACUUUGAUCAAUGAAUUGCUAUGUUGCUAUGACCAGUUAGUAAUAAACAAGCUUUUGAAUGUGGUGUUUCAAAAUAUAAUACUCUGCUCCUAGUGCGACAUAUGAGUACAUGAAUGCAUGAUUUGUUCCUUUCUUAGAACAGAUACCAAUUUGCUAGGUAUAAAAUAAUGCACAUUAACAUGUAUCAUAGAGGUUGAAAGUGCAUGCUAUGCCCCUAAUCGUCUUUUGGUGUUAAUGACAAUACAUACAUAGGAAACUAAACCUAUUUGUUGAGUGUAUCUCAGGAUGGCAAGUACUUUAGUAGAUUGAGAAUUAUGUGCCAAAGGUUGUCUGAGAAGAUUGGGGAUUUAUAUUUCGAGAAGGCUCGGGAUUAAGAAAAGAUGAUGUAGACUAGUAUUUUGAGUUUACUAAUAUUGAGUAUAGGGAUCCCGCACUAUUAAGAGGGGAUCACAGGUUUUGCGAUGAACUUGCUCAUACCACAUCUUUACUGUCAUACCCAAUACCACAUAUUCUCCACUCUGUUCUUAUAUCAAAACAGGUCUAUUGCCUCGGACCUCCGGCUCCCUCCCGACGUCCGAGGGCCGGACGACCGACAGGCUUCGGAAAUCCGCAGCCCUUCACCAGAAGUUUGUGAGUCAUAUAACUCGGAAAUCCGGCUCCCUCCGGACAUCCGAGGGCCGUACGUCCGACCAGCCCCGGAAGUCCGAAGCCCUGCACCAGUAGAAGUUGAGUUCUAUAACUCGGAUUUCUGGCUCCCUCCGGACGUCCGAGGGCCGGACGUCCGACCCCCUUUGGAAAUCCGGAACCUACCACCAGAAGAAGUUGAGUCGUAUAACUCGGAUUUCCGGUCCUCUCCGCACGUCCGGUCGCUAUUCAAUUCAAAAUAGUUCAGUUGUAUCUACAAGCCUCGGACGACCGACCCCUGUCGUACGUCCGACCCCUCGCGGACGCCAGGACUUCCGGCAACUGUCGAACGUUCGGACCUUGUGUGACUUAAUGUGUCCCCAACAGCUGUAUUUCACUCCCCACUAUAUAUACUCUUCUCCCACCUCGUGAAAGUGUGCUCAACACAGCUAGAAUACACCCAAGAACACCUUUCCUCUCACUCACUCUUGUCUACACCAAAUCCUAGAUCCCAAGAGCAUUUGUGAGUCCCUUUGAGUGUUGUUCCAAUCAAAAGAUAGAUCGUCUCCCUCUCCUCCUUCCCACCAAAGUGAUUUGUGAUUUGAGCAAGUUUUGAGCAAUCCUCGUGAUCUUGUUACUCUUGGAGGUUGGAGACUCCUAGGAGGUAGGAGUCUUCGGAGAGGAAUCAAACCAUUGUGAUAUCCCCCGGAAAGUUUGUGAAGGUUUGGAAGCCACCUCAAGGCUUACCACUAGUGGUUGAGAAACGCCUUCGUGGAGUUAUCUCAAAGGGAGAAUAGGGUGAGCCUUCGUGGCGUUGGCGUGCCUUCGUGGUAACAUCCGCUCCUCUAACGGUGACGUAGCUUCCCUCCAAGGAAGUGAACAUCGGGAUACAUCCUUGUCUCUCUUGGAGUUUCGGUUAUUCCCAACCCUAACUCUCUACUUGUGUUAAUCCUUAUUACGUACUUGUAUUUGAUUAUUGUUUACCGCUUGUCUUACUUCACUCUAAAUAGCUUACUCCUUGUCGUAGCAAUUAUUAGGCUUACACUCAUAUUCCGCACUUUUGCCUAAAAUUGCUAAGUAAUUAUUAAAAUUUGGAUUUGUACCUAUUCACCCCCCCUCUAGGUCCAUCUCGAUCCUUUUCAAUUGGUAUCAGAGCCUCGUGCUCUAUUCGUGUGGCUUAACCGCCCUAGAGCGAGAUGGACGGGGAACCAACUACGGUAGCUCCAGUGCGGAGGGACGGGACUUCCUCGGAAGUCAAGUCUUUCACCUCUGAGGAGCUAGAACGGGCCUUUGCCAAGCAAAAAGAGGAGCAUGAUGCUUCUCUUGAGGCCAUGGUCCAAAUGAGACUAGCAUCACUAACCACGGGGACAACCAGGUCUCCGAGGGCCUCAGGGCCACAUGUGCACGGUACUUCAUUUGGCCAACAACCUCCAGAAAGGAACCAAACCAGUGUUCCAUGGAUUUAUGCUAGAUCUCAAAUUGAGAAACCUAAGUACAAUCCUGGAGGAAAACCUCCCUUGCUUGAUGAUAAUUCCGAUUUUGCUUUGUGGAGAGUUGGUAUGCAGGAUCAUCUUAGGUAUGCCAAUGAUGAGAUGUUGGACAUCCUCGAGCAUGGGUACAAUCCUGUAGAUCCAAGGUGCCUCACUCCCAGAGAAACUUAUGACAAGCAUCUGAAUGACACUGUGAUCAUGUGCAUAAGAAAAGGAAUGAAUGACAAGCAACGAAGACCUUACAUUCACAUCACAAGUGCCAAGGAACUGUGGGAUAGCAUUAUAAGGACCAAGACCGGUACCUCCACUCUUCGGCUUGCUCAAUAUGAAAUUGCGAAGGGGAAUUACAGAAUUUCUGUAUGGAAAAGGGUGAAUCUCCCAAGCAACUACUAGAACGGCUCAUGACUCUCGCCGCAGACAUUGAGUCAUGUGACUGUGACAAGACGCAAGAUGGUUUCAAUCUAACCAAGAGAUUUCUUGUGGACAAGUUACUUCAUGCUCUUGCUCCGUAUCACCAUCAAAUGGUAUGGGACAUGAGGCAGCACCAUGGGUUCAAAGAAAUGACUCCGGAUGACAUUAUAUCCACUUUCCAAUUAUUUGAAGAGUCAAAGGCAAAUGCAACAAAGCACCUUGCCAUGCAUGGCACUUCAACAUCAAAGAUCAAUCUUGCUUUGAAAGCCAAGCAUGAAUGUGAUGAAGAAGAAAGUGAAGAAGAAGAGGGUGAUGAUGACUGCGAAGAUGGUGAUGAUGUUGACUCUGAUGAAAGCCCAUAUUUUGAGGACAUUGCUCUCUUUGUAAAGAAGUUCAGUGCAGGAAAGUUCAAGGGAAGAUUCCCAAAGAAGAAGGUAAGGAAAUGCUAUAACUGUGAGGAAACCAACCACUUCUCCAAUGACUGCCCUUAUGAGAAGAGAGAAGACAAACCAAGGUUUCCAAAGACCUUUGUAAAUAAGAAGUUGCCAAACCCUAUGAACUCCAAGUUCAAGAGGACAGAUGGAAGAGCAAUGGUUGCACAAGAAGAAUCAGAUCCAGAAGAUGUUGGUGGAGUUGCCGGAGUAGCUCAGGAUACACAAAACACCUUGAGGCUAGUCAACAAAAGUGGUGAUGUUGUUCACUACAACUAUAUGAAGGACUACAAGGGCAACGCUCACAAGUGUUUGAUGGCAAAGACUGCCAUGGGAGAUGAGGAAGACCAAAACUCCCAUGAUAAGGUCAAGGUAACUCCACGGUUAAACUCUUUCAGUCUAGCUUCUACUCCAUCUGAUGAGUAUCUUGAUGCGGAAGAUCACUAUGAGGAUAAUGACUUAGAUCAUCCCAUGUUUGCUAAAAUAAACAAAUUUAUGUGCUCUCUUAAAGGAAAGAAGCUCACUAUGUUUCGCAUACUUAUGGAAAUGGUGAGUAAGCACACCAAUACCAUCAAGGAACUCGAAACCCUCGUCACUGAGGAGAAGGAAAGAAAUGAAAUCCUUGAGCAGAAAGUCUUGUAUGAGGAAGCACAAAAUGACGCACUAUGUUCAAAAGUAGGUGAAAACCUUGAUAAACAUGCUAAUGAUCUUGCCUCCUUGAAAAAGGAUGAAUCUGUGUGCAAAGAAUUACUAAAUGAGAAAGACCGACUUGUGAACUCUCAUGCUUCCCUUUCUAAGGACUAUGAGCGUCUAUCCUUGUCUCUCAAAGACAAGGAAGAGAAACUCAUUGUUCUUACAAAGAGCUUUGAGGCACUUAAGGUCACUUAUCUUGACACUCUAGCUAAGGCCUACUCCUCACCUAUUAUUAAUGUUGAUACCUGCACUACUAACUCUAGUAGUGAACUGACAUCUAUCCUUGAGGAAAACUGUUCACUAAAGGCACAGCUAGACAGAGGUCUCAUGACAUGUGCACAAGGACAAAAGACUCUCAAUGAGAUCUUAAGUCGACACAGUGGAGGCUUCGCCAAGGAAGGGCUUGGGUUCAACCCAAGCACUGCCAAGAAAAGUGCAUGUCGUGGGUAUAAGUCUGACAGUAGAUGUGUAGGGUACGAAAUGAUGGGCAGAGCCUUAGCUACGGCGAGGUUGUAUGAGUUCAGGCCCCUCUAUGGUGGAGGUAAAAGCCCUACGUCUCAGUGCUCUUGGGAGCUUGUUGUCGAGUGGAAUAUGGAUUACAGUGAAUUGCUAACCCCUGCACCAGUGGGGAAGGGCGGCUUAUAUAGAGUGCGCUACCCUUCAUAACGGUUCGGUGCACAGGGGUGGAGUAGUGGCAAAUAACUGCAUACGUUAUAGGUAACGUAUGUCUUAAAUGCUAAUAAAGGUACAUGGAAACGUAUGACCGUUGCCCUCCAGGGGGGUUACGAUGUACAGAGUGGAAUCCAGUCGGUAAGUUUGAUACGCUCCGAAUGCUCAUCUCCGACUGCAUGAUGUAGGAAUCGUCACCGACUGGAUGAUGGGAAGUCCUUAAUUCAGUCGGAACUGACUAAGGGCCUUAUCCCUUAUGAAGGGUAGUCCUUGGGUAGGACCCAUUGGGCAGGCCUAUGACCCUACCCUAGGACUAUAACCCCAUCAUUAGUCCUCGAAUGGAUCGGGGUUGGAACAACGAAGCGAUGCUCGGAGUACGGAUCCGACUGGUACGGAUGCGACUUUGGCAUUGUUUGCCUCGAUCCAUUUUGUCCUCUUGACCAGUGAUCCGAGUGGAUGUAUUUGUGAAACGAACCGUCAGGGACCGAGUGUUUCCGUGGAAUCUUUUGACGUGACCAGUCAACUGACAGCGGCGGAUUUUCUGGGAUCCUCAAAUUUCGGUUGCCGCGCGCUCGGCGGGGAUGACGACAUCGUAAUCGAGUAGUAUCUGCCACCUCGAUUUCCGCACCUUCAUCUCCUCCACUAAUAUCGCAGCGACCGGUCGGGGGAUAAGAUUUCGGGGCCACCUACUAGUGACCCAGUCGGAACCUUAUUUAAACCUCUUCAGUGAGGGUUUUUCGUUGCACUCGCCUGAUAACUCGCACUUGCCCUGCUUCUCUCGUGACCUCCUGUGCAUCCCAAGCUCUUUCCUUCCCCUCGUCCCCCGCGGAUCUGCAGCCUCCACCAUGACAAAGGGGCAGACGAGCAAGCUCGAGGCGCGGAAGAAGAAUAAAGCGGCGGCUCCUGCUCAGCGGCGGCAGCGAGCACUGCCGGCGGGUUGGAUCCAGGGGGAUUUCCUCCCCUCCACGGUGACGGUGGCGGACAUGCUGGAGCUGGUGGAGCAAGGCAUGAUCGAGCACAAGACGUGGAGGCUGCCGGCGGAGGGCGAGACGGAGCCGGCGCCCCAGGAGGGGGAGCGCGUCCUGCUGCUCAGUCACGUGUACCGAGGCUUCUCUCUGCCUCCUCAUCCCUUCUUUAGAGGUAUAAUGAACCACUUCGGGGCGCAGCUCCACCAUUUUCCUCCCAACGCAAUAGCUCAUCUCUCUGCCUUCGUCGUGCUGUGCGAGUGUUUUAUCGGCUGUCCUCCCCAUUGGGGGCUCUUCAAGCACAUCUUCUCUGCUAGAUCUCAAACCAUCAAAAGACUUAGCCAGUCGGACGACAAAACUCACCUCCUCCAGCUCUGCGGAGGCUUAGGCUUCCAAAAGAAAAGCAAAAGUAGCUAUCCUGCUCUCCAGCUGUCUGAAUCCGUUAGGAACUGGCAGUCGACUUGGUUCUACUGCCAGGACGUCGCUUGUCCGAAUGAUGCAACGGGAUUGCCCCCUUUUAGCUUAGACCGACCGGCUCCGCCUAGGCAGCUUGCGCUCACGAAGAUGGAAAAGAUCCAGAUUCAGCCUCUGGUCGACGCGUUGGUAGAUGCCGUCCGCAAGGGAGUCACCGUCAUAGAUUUGCUGGAGGUUUUUCUGGGUCGGCGUAUCCAGCCUUUGCAAGCUCGACACCACGCCAUGUGGCACUACACGGGGCCUGAGGACUCCACUCGGACUAACCCCGAGUGUGUGACCGGGGAGCUUGUGGCGUCGUGGGUCCGCAACAUCACACGCGCUUGCGAUAACCCAGAGGAGCCCGGCGAGUGAAGCCCUUCCGCGCAGACAACCCUCCUCCGAAUGAGGUGAGUAUAACUUGUCGAGUGCACACAAUUGUCUUAGGUUCAUCGCUUUUUCUUGUAUCACUGUCUGACGUCUGAUGUUAUCGACUGUAUCUCGUGCAGGCGUGGACCAACUGGUUUUCUGCCGUCUCGAACGGGAAUCCGGCUGAGGAAGAGGAAGGCAGCCAGGAGGGCAGCGUGGAGAGCGUCGAGUACGUAUCCGACAGUGGGGAGACGGAGGAGGAUUCCUAAGAACAAGAGGGGGAAGAUGAGGAGCAGAACUCGCCACCCCCACCACCAGAGCCUCGAACUAAACGCCGCCACGAACCCGUGGCUCCGUCGGCUCCUCCAGCGAUCUCGAGUGCCCCGCUAGCUACUCCUGUGGUUCCGAGUGCCUUGCCAGCUUCUCCCGUGGUUCCGAGUGCUCGGAGCACAAAGAGGACGAGGGACUCUGCUGCUGAGCCCGCGGGCCAGCCCUCUAAGGUGGCCAAACCGAGUGGAUCCAAGCCUCGGAAGGCUUUGCCGCGGAUGAGGAUCGCCGUUCCUGUCGCCUCAGCGUAAGUGUAUUCUUCUAUCUUCUUCCAGUAUUUGAUUGGACUCAUGCUUAUUGGUUGAGUGAAUUUUACUCGACAGAGCUGCCACCUCCGCCACUUCUCUGCCAUGCCAGGGGGACGAUCCCAUGGAAACGGACAGCGUCGUCACAUCCCAGCAAGGUACGUCGUGGCGACUCCGAGAGCUUACAUUAUUGUUUCACGAAUUCUGUCUUUGGUCUUGCCUUUUUUCUGUGGUCUCACGUCGUUCAGUCGGGUUUCCUUUAGAGGUGAUUCCCGUGGAGGAGGGCGACCAGAAGAGGUCCGAGCAAGCUGCGGUGUCUGUCCUUGAGGCUGUUCCAUCUGUUACUACUCCCGCCAUGGACGCGCCACCAGCCGAGAUGAUGCCGUCGACUGAAACGGCGCUCAUCGCUGCUGAGCCGACUGGAGCAGGACUUGGGAUGCCCAAGGAGUCUCUUGUGGUACCAGGUCCGUCGACCGUCGAGUACGACGUCCAACGCCUCCCAGAAGAUCAGGUGGGAGCUGCUAAGGGGGCCAUGGUGCAGGUGGAGUUGAUGGCGGGUGAUGCCAAGAGAGCGUACGACUCCAUCGCAUCUGUGUACAAGCGAAGCUUGGAACUCCGGGAAGAUAUCCGAGUAAGUGGGCUAGUAAGUAUUUACUUUCCUCUUGUAACCCAGUGGGCGUUUAAGCAAUAUACUCGGAUGCAGUAUGAUUAUUUUGCAGUGGGUUCACCCACUCUUAGUGAACCCAGUGGGUGUAGUCCCCGAGACUUCUGUCGAGUGCUUACACCGGCAGUUGUCUUUAUAUACAUUUUCUGUAAGUUGAUCAGAUCAAAACUAAUCUGUUCGAAUGUUACCGGUGGGGGCACUCCGAGUGCACCUAGUGGAUUAGUCCCGAGAGUAAUUUUACUCAGGUCGGGUAGUAGUAGCCUCGUAGGCUUAUUUUUGUUAUGUAUCUUAAUAGGGCGGACCUGUUUGAGCUUCAUUCCAGUGGGGUCACUCUUAGUGAACCCACUGGGUGUAGUCCCCGAGACCGCUGUCGACUGCUUGCGUUGGCAGGGGUCUGAAGAACUUCGAGUUUUUAUUGUUGUCCUUGUUGAAUUUGUCUGAUCAUCUCUUGGCGCUGACUUGCCGAAGACUUGCGAGAUGGGAUCAGCGUACGACACUCUGAAGGCUGAAAAGAUUCAGUUUGCUGCGGAACUGGAUGCAGCAAUGCUUGCCUUGGCUGGUAUGAAGGGUGUUCUGGCUGAACGAGAGAAGUCCUUGGAGGAGUCCCGUGAGGCAAACAAGGCAUUGGUGGCCGAAAUGGGGAAACAAAGAACCAAGCUGAUGGGACAGAUGCAGGUGAUGAACAAGCGGUGCAUAGCACAGGAGAAGUACAUCAGUGACUUGGCAAGGAAGAUGAUUGCGCUUCUCGGUGGUAAGUUCUGUUUCUCCGAGUGCCUCUUGACUGUGUAUUUCAUUCCGCGCUUACUUUUUGCUCGUCUUGUCUUUGCAGAUUUUUGCAUGGACGCUGAGGCUGAAGCAGCUGACGUUGAGCGGUCGGUUCUUCCGAACGUUCCACUCGGCGAGGACGCCAAUCGAGACAUGCUCCGAGCGCACAUUCGCCUAGGAAAAGUGGGACCUUUCAUCGGUCGACUGAGAGAGGUCGUCGGCCGAAUCGACAAGGAGCUGUGGCCCGAAGACGAGUCUCCGCAAGAGAUGGAAGGGUUGAUGACUCGGCUGGAGGAGGUCCCGAACCGAGUGCACGCGUGGAAGAAGUCUGCGGCUCGCUGUGGUGCGGACGUGGUGCUGUCGCUGGUCUGAGUGCACUUCAAGGAGGCUCGCGAAGAGAAGCUGAAGGCGUUGCAAGUCGCCAACACCAAAAAGCUUCGAUUCGAAGAUUUCAUGGAGACCUUCCUUGAGAGCGCCACUCGCAUCGCAGACGGGAUCGACCUCGACACUUUCGUGGAGCCUGCCAGUCCCAGUGCCAGUCCUGACGACGCUUGAGAAAACUUUUACCUCGGUAUGCCGAGUGUUGGUUGUAUGAAACUUUGUCCACUGCUGUUGGCCGUCACAUUCGUGGUUCAGUGUCGAUAAGCUGGAUCUACACCGAGCCAACUAUCUAUAGACGAACUUUGAAUUUGAAUCGAAUCUUUUGCUCUUCCUUUGCCAAAGAGUUGUUGACACGAUUUUGGCUCGUGGUUUUUGUUUGGCGUUUCUUAGUGAAGCCAAUGGUAAACAUGCGGAGCAUGUAAUUGUCAGUUGUCUUGACAUCUACUUGAGCCUCAUUGAGGGUCUGCUGAGUCUCCGAGUGGAUCUGUAGGAUACACUCGAAGGCAAUUGUGUACUUAGGCGAUUCAUGAUCGCGGCUAAGUCUUCGAGUGCGACUGUAAGGUCGUACUCGGAGCGAGUUGUUACUCAUGUAAUUGUCAGUUGUCUUGACAUCUACAUGAGCCUGAAUGAGGUUCUGAUACUCAUAUAAUUGUCAGUUGUCUUGACAUCUACAUGAGCCUCAAUGAGGGUCUGCUAAGCCUCCGAGUGGAUCUGUAAGAUACACUCGAAGGAAGCUUUCUAUUUAGGCGAUUCUUGAUCGCAGGCAAGUCCCCGAGUGCAACGUUUAGUGCACAUUCGGAGAAAGUUAGUACUUAGGCGAUUCUUGAUCGCAGCUAAGUCCCCGAGUGAGACGUUUAGUGCACACUCGGAGAAAGUUUGCACUUAGGCGAUUCUGGCUCGCAGCUAAGUCCCUCGAGUGCGACGUUUAGUGCACACUUGGAGAAAGUUUGUACUUAGGCGAUUCUUGAUCGCAGCUAAGUCCCCGAGUGCGACGUUUAGUGCACACUCAGAGAAAUUUAGUACUUAGCGACUCUGGAUCGCAGCUAAGUUUUUUUUGAGACUGGAGUCUGCGACCGCGGAAGAAUUUUGAAUCUGCAAAAACUCAAUCUGCUUUGUAUUACUUCAACGAUACUUGUGCUUUACAUUGCUUCAGUCGACGGUCACGUGUAGAAGCGCUUCAGGAGAUCUCCGUUCCAUGCUCGCGGCUCAUCCGUUUCCCUGUCGAGGUUGUAGAGUCGAUAUGCUCCGUUGUUCAGCACCUUGGAGAUGAUGAAGGGUCCUUCCCAGGCGGGAGCCAACUUGUGAGGUCUCUGCUNNNNNNNNNNNNNNNNNNNNNNNNNNNNNNNNNNNNNNNNNNNNNNNNNNNNNNNNNNNNNNNNNNNNNNNNNNNNNNNNNNNNNNNNNNNNNNNNNNNNUUCAAAUUCUCAAAUAUGCAAAAAGAAUUUUAAUAAACAUAGUUUUUAAUUGAAAAUAACAAAAUAGCUAAUAGUUUGGAUAGUCAAAAUAAUUAAUUUUGAAAAUAGAAAUUAGUUUUGAAUUAUUUAUUCAAUUUCAAACACUUUUCAUUAUCAUAGUUUUGUCAAAUUCUCAAAUAUGCAAAAAGAAUUUUAAUAAACAUAGUUUUUAAUUGAAAAUAACAAAAGAGUUAAUAGUUUGGAUAGUCAAAAUAAUUAAAUUUGAAAAUAGAAAAUAGUUUUGAAUUAUUUAUUCAAUUUCAAACACUUUUCAUUAUCAUAGUUUUGUCAAAUUCUCAAAUAUGCAAAAAGAAUUUUAAUAAACAUAGUUUUUAAUUGAAAAUAACAAACUAGUUAAUUUUGAAAAUAGAAAAAAAUUGAACUAUAUGAGAAUUUAUAAAGAAAAUUAAACAUAAAUUCAAAGUGACCUCACUUUGAAUUUAGGCUUAAUUUUCUCCAUAAUUUCAAAUAUAGUUUCAAUUUUUAAAUUUACAGUCACUUUAGGCNNNNNNNNNNNNNNNNNNNNNNNNNNNNNNNNNNNNNNNNNNNNNNNNNNNNNNNNNNNNNNNNNNNNNNNNNNNNNNNNNNNNNNNNNNNNNNNNNNNNGUACGAAUAGAUGGGCAGAGCCUUUGCUACGGCGAGGUUGUAUGAGUUCAGGCCCCUCUGCGGUGGAGGUAAUAGCCCUACGUCUCAGUGCUCUGGGAGCUUGUUGUCGAGUGGAAUAUGGAAUACAGUGAAUUGCUAACCCCUGCACCAGUGGGGGAAGGCUUGUUGUCGAGUGGAAUAUGGAAUACAGUGAAUUGCUAACCCUUGCACCAGUGGGGGAAGGCGGCUUAUAUAGAGUGCGCUGCUCUCCACAACGGUUCGGUGGACAGGGGUGGAGUAGUGGCGAAUAAAUGCCUAUGUUACAGGUAACGUAUGUCUUAAAUGCUAAUAAAGGCACAUGGAAACGUACGACCGUUUCCCUCCUGGGGGGUUAGGAUGCACAGACUGGAAUCCAGUCGGUUAGUUUGAUAUACCCCGAAUGCUCACCUCCGACUGGAUGAUGGAGGGUCCGUUACCGACUGGAUGAUGGGAAGUCCUUAGUUCAGUCGGAACUGACUAAGGGCCUUGUCCCUUACGAGGGGUAGUCCUUGGGUAGGACCUACAUGACAGGCCUAUGACCCUACCCUAGGACUAUAACCCCAUCAUUAGUCCCCGAAUGGAUCGGGGUUGAAACAACGACUACCCUAGGACUAUAACCCCAUCAGGCGCGUUAAGAUUCUUUGGACGCUUUGGAGGAAGCACGCGAUUUCCUGCCGCCCGAUCGGCAAUUUAUCAGCAGGACUUGCGGCGUUACCACAGCCGCCGGGUCAAGAGCCAAACCUUUCAGGAGGGCGACCUAGUGCUUCGAUUGAUCCAAGAUCGCACUGGCAUGCAUAAGUUAUCACCACCAUGGGAAGGACCAUUCGUCGUCAGCAAAAGCCUUCGCAAUGGGUCAUACUAUCUGGUGGAUCUUCGGCCUGAUCGGCCAACCACGGAGGCUGAGUCAACUCGCCCCUCGAACAUAGCCCACUUGCGGCCUUCUUACACUUGAGCUAUUAGCUCUGCUUUUUGUAAGUUUUUCAUUUUUAUGAAGCAAUAAAAUUGAUGCCCACAAGCUCGGGGGCUUUCCUGCUAUUUCAUCUNNNNNNNNNNNNNNNNNNNNNNNNNNNNNNNNNNNNNNNNNNNNNNNNNNNNNNNNNNNNNNNNNNNNNNNNNNNNNNNNNNNNNNNNNNNNNNNNNNNNGACCCGUAGGUCUGAAGUGAACUACUCACGAGUCAUUGGAGGGGCGAUGAUGAUGAUGAAGAAGCCCUCCAACUCCAAAGUCCCCUCCGGCAGGGCAUCGGGAAGGGUCUCUAGAUGAGAUCUCGUGGAAACGGAAGCUGGCGGCGGCGGAAAAGUAUUUUCGUGGAUCCCUUGAUUUUUUUUCUGAUUUUUAGGGAAUAUAUAGGCGCAAGAUCUAGGUCAGGGGGACGCCAGGGAGGCCACAAGCCUGCCCACCGCCGCUCCCCUGGUGGCGGAGUGGGGGCUUGUGGGCUCCCUGUAGCCCUCCUCGCUUGGUCCACAAGCCCCCUCAUCUUCUUCCGUUCGGGAAAAAAUCAUUUCGGGGAUUUUAUUCUGUUUGGAUCAGAUCUGAAAAAAGCCAAAAACACACACACAAAACAGGAACUCACACUUGGCACUGAAUUAAUAAGUUAGUCCCAAAAAAGAUAUAAAAGGUACAUAAAACAUCCAAAGAUGACAAGAUAAAAGCAUGAAACCAUCAAAAAUUAUAGAUACGUUUGAGACGUAUCAACCAUCUCCUCUCCUAUCCCUAGUUCAUCUCUUGUAACAAAUCUCCGUCUCGCGAAUCCGAUUGGUACUUGUAAGGUUGCUAGUAGUGUUGAUUACUCUUUGUAGUUGAUGUUAGUUGGAUUACUUGGUGGAAGAGUUUAUGUUCAGAUCCUUGAUGCUAUUCAUUACACCUCUGAUCAUGAUUAUGAUUAUGUUUUGUGAGUAUUUACUUUUUUUCCUGAGGACAUGGGAUAAGUCAUGCUAAUAAUAGUCAUGUGAAUUUGGUAUUCGUUCGGUAUUUUGAUAUGUUGUAUGUUGUUUUUCCUCUAGUGGUGUUAGGUGAACGUCGACUACAUAACUUCACCAUAUUUGGGCCUAGAGGAAGGCAUUGGGGAGUAGUAAGUAGAUGAUGGGUUGUUGGAGUGACAGAAGCUUAACCCCCAGUCUAUGUGUUGCUUCGUAAGGGGCUGAUUUGGAUCCACUAGUUUAAUGCUAUGGUUAGACGUUGUCUUAAUUCUUCUUUCGUAGUUGCAGAUGCUUGCGAGAGGGGUUAAUCAUAAGUGGGAUGCUUUUCCAAGUAAGGGUAGUACCCAAGCGCAGGUCCACCCACAUAUCAAACUAUCAAAGUAACGAACGCGAAUCAUAUGAACAUGAUGAAACUAGCAUGACAGAAAUUCCNNNNNNNNNNAGAACACCAACGCAAGGAUCCAAGGCCACGGGGGAAAUCCUUUGCAUAUUUUCCUAGGAAGUCCCUUAAGGCCUAGCUGUAGGAGAAGGAUUCCUGGUGCCGUCGACACACCUAUUUCUGGCGCCGUUGGAAGGUCUUUUGUUGCAGUAGCAAUGGUGGUGAUGAAGAUGUUGAUGGAGAUGACUCCCCUCCGACGAGAGGAGUGUUGGUGAUGACGAUGGCGACUANNNNNNNNNNGUCCGAGGAGGAGAUUGGUUACAAGAGAUGAACUAGGGAUAGGAGAGGAGNNNNNNNNNNNNNNNNNNNNNNNNNNNNNNNNNNNNNNNNNNNNNNNNNNNNNNNNNNNNNNNNNNNNNNNNNNNNNNNNNNNNNNNNNNNNNNNNNNNNAUAUAGGAUGACCUCAUUUGAUUACCGGAAGGUUUUCGGAGUUACCGGGAAUGUACCGGGAAUGACGAAUGGGUUCCGGGAGUUCACCGGAGGGGGGCAACCCACUCCGGGGAAGCCCAUAGGUAUUUGUGGGGGUCACACCAGCCCUUAGUGGGCUGGUGGGACAGCCCACCAAAUCCUAUGCGCCAAGGAAGAAAAAUCAAAGGAAGGAAAAAAAAAGAGGAACAAGUGGGAAGGGGGAAGGACUCCCUCCCACCAAACCAAGUAGGACUCGGUUUGGGGGGGGAGAGUCCUCCCCCCUGGCUCGGCCGACCCCUUGGGGUUCCCUUGGACCCCAACGCAAGGUCCCCCUCCCUCCUCCUAUAUAUAUGGGGCUUUUAGGGCAGAUUUGAGACGACUUUCUCACGGCUGCCCGACCACAUACCUCCAUAGUUUUUCCUCUAGAUCGUGUUUCCGCGGAGCUCGGGCGGAGCCCUGCUGAGACAAGAUCAUCACCAACCUCCGGAGCACCUUCACGCUGCCGGAGAACUCUUCUACCUCUCCGUCUCUCUUGCUGGAUCAAGAAGGCCGANNNNNNNNNNNNNNNNNNNNNNNNNNNNNNNNNNNNNNNNNNNNNNNNNNNNNNNNNNNNNNNNNNNNNNNNNNNNNNNNNNNNNNNNNNNNNNNNNNNNNNNNNNNNNNNNNNNNNNNNNNNNNNNNNNNNNNUGCUGAACGCGGAGGUGCCGUCCGUUCGGUACUAGAUCGUGGGACUGAUCGCGGGAUUGUUCGCGGGGCGGAUCGAGGGACGUGAGGACGUUCCACUACAUCAACCGCGUUCACUAACGCUUCUGCUGUACGAUCUACAAGGGUACGUAGAUCACUCAUCCCCUCUCGUAGAUGGACAUCACCAUGAUAGGUCUUCGUGCGCGUAGGAAAAUUUUUGUUUCCCAUGCGACGUUCCCCAACAGUGGCAUCAUGAGCUAGGUUCAUGCGUAGAUGUCUUUUCGAGUAGAACACAAAAGGUUUUGUGGUCGGUGAUGUGCGUUUUGCUGCCCUCCUUAGUCUUUUCUUGAUUCCGCGGUAUUGUUGGAUUGAAGCGGCUUGGACCGACAUUACUCGUACGCUUACGAGAGACUGGUUUCAUCGUUACGAGUAACCCCCUUUGCUCAAAGAUGACCGGCAAGUGACGGUUUCUCCAACUUUAGUUGAAUCGGAUUUGACCGAGGAGGUCCUUGGAUGAGGUUAAAUAGCAACUCAUAUAUCUCCAUUGUGGUGUUUGCGUAAGUAAGAUGCGAUCNNNNNNNNNNNNNNNNNNNNNNNNNNNNNNNNNNNNNNNNNNNNNNNNNNNNNNNNNNNNNNNNNNNNNNNNNNNNNNNNNNNNNNNNNNNNNNNNNNNNCAGUAACAAAGCAAAGUAAAAGUGAAAGUGGAAACGAUAGGUGUGAAUAGACCCGGGGGGCGUAGUGUUUACUAGUGGCUUCUCUCAUGAAAUUAAGUAGACGGUGGGUGAACAAAUUACUGUCGAGCAAUUGAUAGAACCGCGCAAAGUCGUGACGUCAUAUAUGGCAAUGAUUAUAUCUAUAGGCAUCAUGUCCAAAUCAAGUAGACCGAUACUUUCUGCAUCUACUACUAUUACUCCACACGCCGACCGCUAUCUAGCAUGCAUCUAGUGUAUUAAGUCCAAAAGAACACAAUAACACCUUAAGCAAGAUGACAUGAUGUAGAUGGAAAAUCUCAUAUCUACGACAGAGCCCACCUUGUUACCCUUGAUGGCAACUACACAAUGUGUGCCUUGCUGCCCCUACUGUCACUGGGAAAGGUCACCACAUGGUAAGAACCGAAAACCAAGCACUUCUCCCAUUGCAAGAAUCAUAGAUCUAGUUGGCCAAACAAAACCCAAGACUCGUAGAGACUUACAAGGAUAUCAAAUCAUGCAUAUAAGAAAUCAACAAAUACUCAAAUAUAUAUCAUAGAUAAUCUGAUCACAAAUCCACAAUUCAUCGGAUCUCGACAAACACACCGCCAAAGAAGAUUACAUCAGAUAGAUCUCCAUGAAGAUCAUGGAGAACUUUGUAUUGAAGAUCCAAGAGAGAGAAGAAGCCAUCUAGCUACUAACUACGGACCCGUAGGUCUGAAGUGAACUACUCACGAGUCAUUGGAGGGGCGAUAAUGAUGAAGAAGAAGCCCUCCAACUCCAAAGUCCCCUCCGGCAGGGCACCGGGAAGGGUCUCCAGAUGAGAUGUCGCGGAAACGGAACCUUGCGGCGGCAGAAAAGUAUUUUUGUGGAUCCCUUGAUUUUUUUUCUGAUUUUUAGGGAAUAUAUAGGCGCAAGAUCUAGGUCAGGGGGGCGCUAGGGAGGCCACAAGCCUGCCCACCACCGCCCCUGGUGGCGGAGUGGGGGCUUGUGGGCUCCCUGUAGCCUUCCUGGCUUGGCUCACAAGCCCCCUGAUCUUCUUCCGUUCGGGAAAAAUCAUUUCGGGGAUUUUAUUCCAUUUGGACUUCGUUCCAAAAUCAGAUCUGAAAAGAGCCAAAAACACAGAAAAAAAACAGGAACUGGCACUUGGCACUGAAUUAAUAAGUUAGUCCCAGAAAAGAUAUAAAAGGUACAUAAAACAUCCAAAGAUGACAAGAUAACAUCAUGAAACCAUCAAAAAUUAUAGAUACGUUUGAGACGUAUCAAGCAUCCCCAAGCUUAACUCCUGCUCGUCCUCGAGUAGGGAAGUGAUAAAGAAUGAAUUUUUGAUGCUUUCAUGCUACCUAGCAUAGAAGCCCUUUGUAACUCCUCUUAUGUGAUGUGAAUGUUCAGAUCCAUUAGAUUCAAAACAAUAGUUUGCUAUUGACGUGGAAACAAUAAUAAUUCAAGCAAACUAGCAAGGUAAUCAUGAACUUUCAAAAUAACAAGGCCAAAAGAAAGUUAUCCCUACAAAAGCAUAUAGUCUGGCUAUGCUCUAUCAUCAUUGCACAACGAAUUUAAAUCAUGCACAACCCCGGUAUUGGCCAAGUAAUUGGUUCACACCUUUACUUUCUCAAACCUUUUCAACUCUCACGCAAUACAUGAGCGUGAGCCAUGGUUAUAGCACUAUAGAUGGUGUGGAGUGUGGUGGAGGUUGCAAGACAAAACAAGGAGAAGAUGGUAACAUUAACUAGGCAUAUCAAUGAGUUGUGGAGAUUCUCAUCAAUAUAUAUCAAUGUGAAUGAGUAGGGAUUGCCAUACAAAUGAUGCACUAGAGCUAAGAGUAUGUGAAAGCUCUUAAAGAAAACUAGUGGGUGUGCAUCCAACUUGCUUGCUCACGAAGACCUAAGGCAAUUUUGAGGAAGCCUAUCAUUGGAAUAUACAAGCCAAGUUAUAUAAUGAAAAUUUCCCACUAGCUAUAUGGUGGUGACAAAACGAGAGACUCUCAAUCAUGAAGAUCAUGGUGCUUAAUAUGCACAAGUGUGGAAAAAGUGGUAGCAUUGUCCCUUAUCUCUUUUUCUCUCAUUUUUUUUGGUGGGCUCUUUGGCCUCUUUUAUUUAUUUAUUUUUUAUUUUGGUGGGCUUAUUUGGCCUAUUUUAUUUCCUCACAUUGGACAAUGCUCCAUCAAUGAUGAUCAUCACACUUUCAACUCAAAACUUAGAGCAACAUGACUCUAUAUGGAAUGCCUUCGGUAGUGUACCGUGGCAAUGAUCUAGCAUGGCAUAGACAUUAAUGAAAACAUCAUGCUAGCUAUCUUACGAUCAUGCAAUGGAAAUGUAGACGUGAUGGCACAUGUCAUGGUGGUAGUUGCAUGGCAAUAUAUCUCGGAAUGACUUUGAAAAAUCCAUAGUAGGUAGGUAUGGUGGCUGUUUUGAGGGAGGCUAAUGGUGGGUUUUGUGCACCAGCGAAAGUUGCACGGCACUAAGAAGAUAGUGAUGGUGGAAGGUAAAAGUGCAUCUAAACCAUGGACUCAACAUUAGUCAUGAAGAACUCAUAUACUUGUUGCAAAAGUUUUAUUAGUAAUCGAAACAAAGCAUUCAACGCAUACUCCUAGGGGAAGGGUUGGUAGGUAUAAACCAUCGCACGAUCCGACCGCCACACAAAGGAUGACAAUCAAUAGACUAAUCAUGCUCAGAUUUCAUCACAUAGCGGUUCACCAUACGUGCAUGCUACGGGAAUUACUAACUUCAACACAAGUAUUUCUAGAUCCACAACACCUUACUAGCAUAACUUCAAUAUUACCAAAACCACAACUCAAAACUAAUUGAGAUGAAUCAAACUUCUCUAACUAUUCNNNNNNNNNNNNNNNNNNNNNNNNNNNNNNNNNNNNNNNNNNNNNNNNNNNNNNNNNNNNNNNNNNNNNNNNNNNNNNNNNNNNNNNNNNNNNNNNNNNNUUCUUGGGCUGUCCCACCAGCCCACUAAGGGCUGGUGUGCCACCCCCAAGGCCUAUGGGCUUCCCCGGGGUGGAUUGCCCCCCCGGUGAACUCCCGGAACCCAUUCGUCAUUCCCGGUACAUUUCCGGUAACUCCGAAAACCUUCCGGUAAUCAAAUGAGGUCAUCCUAUAUAUCAAUCUUCAUUUCCGGGCCAUUCCGGAAACCCUCGUGACGUCCGUGAUCUCAUCCGGGACUCCGAACAACAUUCAGUAACCAACCAUAUAACUCAAAUACGCAUAAAACAACGUCGAACCUUAAGUGUGCAGACCCUGCGGGUUCGAGAACUAUGUAGACAUGACCCUAGAGACUCCUCGGUAAAUAUCCAAUAGCGGGACCUGGAUGCCCAUAUUGGAUCCUACAUAUUAUACGAAGAUCUUAUCGUUUGAACCUCAGUGCCAAGGAUUCAUACAAUCCCGUAUGUCAUUCCCUUUGUCCUUCGGUAUGUUACUUGCCCGAGAUUCGAUCGUCAGUAUCCGCAUACCUAUUUCAAUCUCGUUUACCGGCAAGUCUCUUUACUCGUUCCGUAAUACAAGAUCCCGCAACUUACACUAAGUUACAUUGCUUGCAAGGCUUGUGUGUGAUGUUGCAUUACCGAGUGGGCCCCGAGAUACCUCUCCGUCACACGGAGUGACAAAUCCCAGUCUUGAUCCACACUAACUCAACUAGCACCUUCGGAGAUACCUGUAGAGCAUCUUUAUAGUCACCUAGUUACGUUGCGACGUUUGAUACACACAAAGCAUUCCUCCGGUGUCAGUAAGUUAUAUGAUCUCAUGGUCAUAGGAAUAAAUACUUGACACGCAGAAAACAGUAGCAACAAAAUGACACGAACAACNNNNNNNNNNUCAGUCUUGAUCCAUACUAACUCAACGAACACCUUCGGAGAUACUUGUAGAGCAUCUUUAUAGUCACCCAGUUACGUUGCGACGUUUGAUACACAUAAAGUAUUCCUCCGGUGUUAGUGUGUUAUAUGAUCUCAUGGUCAUAGGAACAAAUACUUGACACGCAGAAAACAGUAGCAACAAAAUGACACGAUCAACAUGCUACGUCUAUUAGUUUGGGUCUAGUCCAUCACGUGAUUCUCCUAAUGACGUGAUCCAGUUAUCAAGCAACAACACCUUGUUCAUAAUCAGAAGACACUGACUAUCAUUGAUCAACUGGCUAGCCAACUAGAGGCAUGCUAGGGACGGUGUUUUGUCUAUGUAUCCACACAUGUAAAUGAGUCUUCAUUCAAUACAAUUAUAGCAUGGAUAAUAAAUGAUUAUCUUGAUACAGGAAUUAUAAUAAUAACUAUAUUUAUUAUUGCCUCUAGGGCAUAAUUCCAACAUGAAAUGUGAAUGGAGUGCUUCACUUACCUCUACGACACUAGAACCAGCCGCCGUCGACGAGUUCGACGACGGGACGCUCGGCGUCCGCAUCUUCUCCUCCCGCUCAGGCCUCUCCCACGGUGGUUGUUGAUCUGUUCUUCACAAGCUCUCCCACUCUCUGUUUAUUUGUGCAAGUGAGCUCGAGGAGGACGAAGGGGUAAGGGAGCAGUGAACAUAGGGGCAAAAAUGUCCAAAACCUAGUCAUGUAGGUAGUCGAUUAAUGAGAAAGCAUGUGUUUCAUAAAGGGUACAAGUGUCUUCAUAAAGGAGCGACUGGGCAUGAGAGGUCGUCACCGUCGUGAGAAGUUUCUGCAACAAUACCUACGUUGUAGAAGUUCCCGCAACACCAACUUUGUUGCGGCGGUGGAAGACGUAGCACGUCCGCACGAUGAUGCUAUAUCCAACGACUCGUAAUCGGGCCGAUCUUUUAAAAAGAUCGUCCGAUGAACGCGUAGCACUGCCCAUUGUUUAUACAAAGAAGAAAAUAAAUCUACUGCUUUCGUUUCACUUGUAUACCAUGGCAAAGUCCGCAAGGGCACGACCGACGCCUCUCCACCGCGGCAUCUCGACAUCAUGAUAUGAGAGAUACUCGUCCGCCUGCCCCCCAAAGCCCUGCUUCUCUGUCGUGCCUUUUGCCGCACCUGGCACCGUGCCACCUUAGGCCGCGGCUUCCUCCUGGCCCGCCAUGGCCGCCAGCCCUCCCUCCCCAUCCUCUGCGGCCACGAUGCACACCCCGAUGCGGCCAAAACAUUCUCAUCAAACACCAUAUCACGAGAGAUAUAUAUGCGGUUAGAGGGAACAUGAAGACAUUUGUACCCUUUAUGAAGAGAACUAUAGCCAAGAAACAUGCACUGUUUAGAUCGAAAUCCAAAUUUGCGUUGAUUGUAUGGACGAAGAUGUGGCCAACAAGCACACCUAAAAACUUUGAAGAACGUAUAAUCAGGGAUUUCAUUCAACAAAAGUUCAAGAGGUGUUUUCAUGUGACAGAGUCGNNNNNNNNNNNNNNNNNNNNNNNNNNNNNNNNNNNNNNNNNNNNNNNNNNNNNNNNNNNNNNNNNNNNNNNNNNNNNNNNNNNNNNNNNNNNNNNNNNNNUUAGUGAACGCGGUUGAUGUAGUGGAACGUCCUCACGUCCCUCGAUCCGCCCCGCGNNNNNNNNNNNNNNNNNNNNNNNNNNNNNNNNNNNNNNNNNNNNNNNNNNNNNAGUUCUCCGGCAGCGUGAAGGUGCUCCGGAGGUUGGUGAUGAUCUUGUCUCAGCAGGGCUCCGCCCGAGCUCCGCGGAAACACGAUCUAGAGGAAAAACUAUGGAGGUAUGUGGUCGGGCAGCCGUGAGAAAGUCGUCUCAAAUCUGCCCUAAAAGCCCCAUAUAUAUAGGAGGAGGGAGGGGGACCUUGCGUUGGGGUCCAAGGGAACCCCAAGGGGUCGGCCGAGCCAGGGGGGAGGACUCUCCCCCCCCAAACCGAGUCCUACUUGGUUUGGUGGGAGGGAGUCCUUCCCCCUUCCCACUUCUUCCUCUUUUUUUUUUCCUUCCUUUGAUUUUUCUUCCUUGGCGCAUAGGAUUUGGNNNNNNNNNNGUUCCUCUUUUUUUUUCCUUCCUUUGAUUUUUCUUCCUUGGCGCAUAGGAUUUGGUGGGCUGUCCCACCAGCCCACUAAGGGCUGGUGUGACCCCCACAAAUACCUAUGGGCUUCCCCGGAGUGGGUUGCCCCCCUCCGGUGAACUCCCGGAACCCAUUCGUCAUUCCCGGUACAUUCCCGGUAACUCCGAAAACCUUCCGNNNNNNNNNNNNNNNNNNNNNNNNNNNNNNNNNNNNNNNNNNNNNNNNNNNNNNNNNNNNNNNNNNNNNNNNNNNNNNNNNNNNNNNNNNNNNNNNNNNNUUUAUUAAAAUUCUUUUUGCAUAUUUGAGAAUUUGACAAAACUAUGAAAAUGAAAAGUGUUUGAAAUUUAGUACAUUCCAUACAUGCAUUCAUAAAAGGUUUAAUACAUUAUUACAUUAUUGCACCAAUAUUCCUAUCUAUUAUUUCUGUUUUCUUCUGGGUCGUAGCCAUGGAGAAUCUUCAUCAUUCAGUAGGAUGCUUGGGUCAGUUUUCACUUUGAAGGGCGGAAUUUCAUGAAACUUAUUAUAAUCUACUAACAUGUGUGUCAUGUCAUCUACUCCCACGAUGUUUCUUUUUCCUGAAAGAACUAUGUGGCGUUUUGGCUCAUGGGACGAUAUCUUCUUUUGCUGAUUUCCUUUUCUCGUUUUUGUAGACAUGUCCUUCACAUAGAAAACCUGAGCGACAUCAUUGGCUAGGACAAAUGGUUCGUCCAUGUACGCAAGAUUGUUGAGAUCCAUUGUUGUCAUGCCGUACUUUUGGUCUACAACUACCCCGCCUCCUGUCAGCUUCACCCAUUUGCACCGAAAUAAAGGGAUCUUAAAAGUACGUCCAUAGUCAAGUUCCCAUAUCUCCUCUAUGUACCCGUAAUAUGUUUCCAAACAGUGCCCAUUCUCAUCUGUUGCAUCAAAGCGGACACCACUAUUUUGGUUGGUGCUCUUUUUAUCUUGGGCAACCAUGUAAAAUGUAUUCACAUUUAUCUCAUACCCUUGGAAAGUACAUAUAGUCGAAGAUGGUGGCCUGGCCAAACAGUACAGUUAAUCUCCAACGGUGUCGUCAUUCAUGAGAUGUGUCUGCAACCAACUGCCGAAAGUCUUCUCGUGUUCCCCUUUAAUCCAAGAGUCAGCCUUCCCCGGGUUUUCGGAGCGUAGAAUAUUCUUGUGUCUCACGAUAUACGGAGCCACCACGGUGGAAUUGUGCAGAACUGUGUAAUGUGCUUGAGAGAAAGAAUGCCCGUCCAUACAUACUUUUGCUUUCCUUCCUAGUGUGCCUUUUCCUGUCAGCCUACCCUCAUACCGAGAUUCAGGAACACCAAUCGGCUUAAGGUCAGGAAGAAAGUCCACACAAAACUCAAUGACCUCCUCUGUUCCAUAGCCCUUGGAGAUGCUUCCUUCUGGCCUAGCACGGUUACGAACAUAUUUCUUUAAGACUCCCAUGAACCUCUCGAAGGGGAAUAUAUUGUGUAGAAACACANNNNNNNNNNNNNNNNNNNNNNNNNNNNNNNNNNNNNNNNNNNNNNNNNNNNNNNNNNNNNNNNNNNNNNNNNNNNNNNNNNNNNNNNNNNNNNNNNNNNACUUUCACGAGGUGGGAGAAGAGUAUAUAUAGUGGGGAGUGAAAUACACUCGUUGGGGAGACAUUAAGUCACACAGGGUCCGGACAUCGGACAGUUGCCGGAAGUCCGGGCGUCCGCGAGGGGUCGGACGUCCGACAAGGGUCGGUCGUCCAAGGCUUCUAGAUACGACUGAACUAUUUUGAAUUGAACAGCGACCGGACGUCCGGAGAGGACCGGAAAUCCGAGUUAUACGACUCAACUUCUUCUGGUGGUAGGUUCCGGAUUUCUGAAGGUGGUCGGACGUCCGGCCCUCAGACGUCCGGAGGGAGCCGGAAAUCCGAGUUAUAGAACUCAACUUCUACUGGUGCAGGGCUCCGGACUUCCGGGGCUGGUCGGACGUCCGGCCCUCGGAUGUCCGGAGGGAGCCGGAUUUCCGAGUCAUAUGACUCACAAACUUCUGGUGAAGGGCUGCGGAUUUCCGAAGCCUGUCGGUCGUCCGGCCCUCGGACGUCGGGAGGGAGCCGGAGGUCCGAGGCAAUAGACCUGUUUUGAUAUAAGAACAGAGUGGAGAAUAUGUGGUAUUGGGUAUGAGAGUAAAGAUGUGGUAUGAGCAAGUUCAUCGCAAAACCUGUGAUCCCCUCUUAAUAGUGCGGGAUCCCUAUACUCAAUAUUAGUAAACUCAAAAUACUAGUCUACAUCAUCUUUUCUUAAUCCCGAGCCUUCUCGAAAUAUAAAUCCCCAAUCUUCUCAGACAACCUUUGGCACAUAAUUCUCAAUCUACUAAAGUACUUGCCAUCCUGAGAUACACUCAACAAAUAGGUUUAGUUUCCUAUGUAUGUAUNNNNNNNNNNNNNNNNNNNNNNNNNNNNNNNNNNNNNNNNNNNNNNNNNNNNNNNNNNNNNNNNNNNNNNNNNNNNNNNNNNNNNNNNNNNNNNNNNNNNAAAAAGGAGAAGAAAGGAAGAAAAAGGGAAGAAAAGAAGAAAAAGAAAAAGAUUUUUUUGUCAUUUAAUUCCUAUUGUUAUUAGGUUUGUGCUAGAUUAUUAGGGUUAGUAAUAUUUAGAAUUAGGUUAGGGUUACAAGAAGAAGAAAGAUGAACAAAAAUAAGAAAAUAAGAUUAGGAAAAAGGAAAAUAAGAAGAGGAGGAGAAGAAAAGAAGAAAAAGGAGAAUAAGAAGAGGAGGAGAGGAGAAGAAGAGGAAAAAUAGAAGAAGAGGAGAAGUAGAAGAAGAGAAGUUGAAGAAGAAUCGGAGAAGAAAAUAAGAAAUAAGAAGAAGAAGAUGAUGAAGAAGAAGACAUUCUACGUAUAUAGAUGCUUAAUUAGUGUUUCUUAGAUUAUUGCUUAACUUUGCUAUUGUAUAUGCUUAAGUGUUAAUAGUUUAAUUUUGCUAUUGUAUAUGCUUAAGUGUUAAUAGUUUAAUUUUGCUAUUGUAUAUGCUUAAGUGUUAAUAGUUUAAUUUUGCUAUUGUAUAUGCUUAAGUGUUAAUAGUNNNNNNNNNNNNNNNNNNNNNNNNNNNNNNNNNNNNNNNNNNNNNNNNNNNNNNNNNNNNNNNNNNNNNNNNNNNNNNNNNNNNNNNNNNNNNNNNNNNNUGACACGGUGACGUACCACCUCCGCGGUGUCCGGAAGCCUCGGCACCGUCACUGACCCACGCGACCGCCACCAAACAAGGAUCGGGUCAACAACGGGCUGGCUCCUCACCAACCUACGCCCCCCGGAAGGUAGCACCUCCCAAUACCAGCCGGGCGGAGCCCAGUCCUGGUCAUGGCCCCUCUGAUCAAGCAGGUGUCCUCCGCCGAGUCGACGACGAGGAUGCGGGAUAGGCAUCGUAAAAUGAACUAACAUAUAUACUAGUUUUAUUAAUUUUCUUUCUAAAAAUAAAUUAUUAACACUUAAGCAUAUACAAUAGCAAAAUUAAACUAUUAACACUUAAGCAUAUACAAUAGCAAAGUUAAGCAAUAAUCUAAGAAACACUAAUUAAGCAUCUAUAUACGUAGAAUGUCUUCUUCUUCAUCAUCUUCUUCUUCUUAUUUCUUAUUUUCUUCUCCGAUUCUUCUUCAACUUCUCUUCUUCUACUUCUCCUCUUCUUCUAUUUUUCCUCUUCUUCUCCUCUCCUCCUCUUCUUAUUCUCCUUUUUCUUCUUUUCUUCUCGUUUUUCUUCUUUUCUUCUCGUUUUUCUUCUUUUCUUCUACCGGCCGAAGUGUUGGGGAGGGGGCGGGGGCUUACCGGCCGUAGGCGUCGACGACGGCGAGGAGGACGGCAGGCGGAGGCGAGGAGGACGGCGGCGGUGAGGAGGAUGACGGCGACGGCGAGGAGGACGGCAGACUGCGGCGAGGAGGACGAUGGGCAGCCUCACGGCGUCGUCGAGUUCGUCGGUGUGCCGCGCCGGGCAGGAGAACGAGGAAGAAGGAGAGAACGAAAUGCGAUUUGGGUUGGAAAUUUUCUAACUCCCGCUUAUAUAGGUGGACCUUUAGUCCCGGUUCGGGGCUGGAACUGGGACUAAAGACACCCUUUAGUCCCGGGUGGAGCCACGGCCUGGGACUAAAGGCCCUUUUUUGGCAGACCAAAAGGCGGGAAGCAGGGGCCUUUAGUCUCGGGUCGGGGCUCGAGCCGGGACUAAAGACACCCUUUAGUCCCGGGUCGUGGCUCCACCCGGGACUAAAGCCCCUCCGCUGGCUGCACUAUAAGUUUAGUCCCACCUCGCCCAGCGAGGGGGACUAACACUAGUUUAUAAGCCCCGUCGCAGCAUCUCCAUCGAGCUCCUCUCUAAAGCAGGCUUACGGGCCUAAAGUGACUGUAAAUUUAAAAAUUGAAACUAUAUUUGAAAUUAUGGAGAAAAUUAAGCCUAAAUUCAAAGUGAGGUCACUUUGAAUUUAUGUUUAAUUUUCUUUAUAAAUUCUCAUAUAGUUCAAUUUUUUUCUAUUUUCAAAAUUAACUAGUUUGUUAUUUUCAAUUAAAAACUAUGUUUAUUAAAAUUCUUUUUGCANNNNNNNNNNNNNNNNNNNNNNNNNNNNNNNNNNNNNNNNNNNNNNNNNNNNNNNNNNNNNNNNNNNNNNNNNNNNNNNNNNNNNNNNNNNNNNNNNNNNUUUUGUGUUUGUGCACGCACUUGUGAUACUCCUUCACUGGAUCGAUACCUUGGUUCUCAAAACUGAGGGAAAUACUUACCACCGCUGCGCUACAUCACCCUUUCCGCUUCGAGAGAACACCAACGCAAGGAUCCAAGGCCACGGGGGAAAUCCUUUGCAUAUUUUCCUAGGAAGUCCCUUAAGGCCUAGCUGUAGGAGAAGGAUUCCUGGUGCCGUCGACACACCUAUUUCUGGCGCCGUUGGAAGGUCUUUUGUUGCAGUAGCAAUGGUGGUGAUGAAGAUGUUGAUGGAGAUGACUCCCCUCCGACGAGAGGAGUGUUGGUGAUGACGAUGGCGACUAUUUCCCCCUCCGGGAGGGAAGUGUCCCCGGCAGGAUCGUCCUGCCGGAGCUCUAGAUUGGAUCUGCUCAAGUUCCGCCUCGUGGCGGCGGCGAAUCCAUGAAAAAGCUCCACCCUGAUUUUUUUUCCGGACGAAACCCUUCAUAUAGCAGAAGAGGGGGCCAGUGGGCAACCAGGGUGCCCACAAGCCCUGUUGCCACGACCACGUGGGUAGGUCGCGGCAACCAGGCUUGUGGGCCCCUGGUUGCUCCCCUGUGACACUUCUUUCGCCCAUUAUUUUUUAUAUAUUCCCCAAAAAAUCCAUGUUGAUUUUCAAGGCAUUUGGAGUUGCGCAGAAUAGAGGACUCAGACUUGCUCCUUUUCCAGUCCAGAAUUCCAGCUGCCUGUAUUCUCCCUCUUCAAGUAAACCUUGCAAAAUAAGAGAGAAAAGGCAUAAGUAAGGUUCCAUAAAGUAUAAUAAUAGUCCAUAAAGCGAUAAAUAUCAACAUGAAAGCAUGAUGCAAAAUGGACGUAUCAGUGUCGUGGUUGCAAAUAAUGCACAAACCAUGUCAUGCAAUCUGGAAAUCACUGUUAUUGAGAGACCUAGAUCACAAAAUAAUUCAAAUCCCACUGGUUCAAGGCCCUCUGGUUCUAAAGCAUCUGCAAAAUCUAGGAGUAAUACAAGGGCAACAAGUAGCAGUUGUAGGCCACCUACAACUCCAAGUGCAAAUGCUCACUCUGAGCAUUCUUGCAGUAAAACCAAAGCUAAACUAGCAUACCAGUUGAUCCUGUUGUGGAGGAAGCAGAGCCCGAUGCAGCACUUUUUCUGAUGAAGAAGAUGAGAAACUUUAUCCACGCUAUGCUCAGCACAACAAUGAGGAAGAUCAUGUAGAUGAGGAGUACAUUCCUACUGAAUUCUCAGAUACAUAUGAAGACGAGAAGUAGGAGGACCUAGAUAAUGGAGUAUUUGAAACUGAAGAUGAGGACAAACCUAUUAUAAUGUAUGACAAAGAUAAUCCCUCUAUUGGGGAAGGUGUAGUUUUUUUCCUUCAGUUGUUGACGGCAGAAAUGCAGUUGCAACUUUCUCAAUUAGCACCGAAACAGAGUACAUUUGUGAAAUGUGCCACUGAUAGAUGUAAGUGGAGGUUGCAUGCCUCUUUAAUGAGGAGAAGCACAUUAUUUCAGGUACUAAUGCAUUCAAAAUUUAUGUUGCAUUUACUAAUUGUUUAUUCUUUUUUAGCAGAUUAAGGUCAACCCUUACCCUCACAACUGUCCUAGUGUUAACAGAUCUCAGAGAUUGAGGGCUUCAAAGAGAAGAUGGAUAGCAGAUGCUUCUAUGGAUUGGAUUAGAAAUAAUCCAUGCAUAGUUCCAAAGGAAAUUCAGCACAGGUUGACAGAGAAGUAUGGAGUGGAGGUGCCAUAUAGUAGGUGUUAUUUUGGUAAAGAAAUGGCACUAGGCAAGAUGUUUGGCAAGUACAGUGAUACUUUCAAUCUGCUUUAUUCAAGGCUGAAGUUGAGAGAACGUCACUAUGUAGUGUAGUUGAAAUUGACAAGCACAUUGUGUAAUACUCAUUGAGAGGAAAUAAACUGCACAUGGAGUGUUUCAGAAGAGUGUUUGUGUGCUUCAAGGCAUGUCAGAAAGUUUCUUGGAGGGGUGCAGGCCUUACCUUGCUGUGGAUGCAACUGCACUGAAUGGUAGGUACAAGGGCCAGCUUGUUUCUGCUUGCGCCCUUGAUGCACAAAACUAGUUAUUACCAGUUGCAUAUGGUGUCAUAGAAGUAGAGUGAAUUGAGAGCUGGAAUUGGUUCUUCCAACAACUAAAGAAACAAAUAGGACAUCCUGAAGGUUUAGUCAUACAUACAGAUGCAUGCAAAGGAUUGGAGACAACUAUUGAUGAAGUAUAUGCUGGAGUGGAGCACAGGGAGUGUAUGAGGCAUUUGGCUCAAAACUUCACAAAGAAAUUUAAAGGCAAGUUCUAUGAUGAAAAUUUGUGGCCAUGCUCACUUACAUACAACAUUAAGAAACACAACUAUCAUCUGAUUCACUUGCGCAGCAGGCCCAAAGUUAAAGAAUAUUUAGAGGAGCACCACACAAAAAUAUGGGCUAGAGCACACAUCAAUGAUACUUGCAAGGUAAACUAUGUGAACAACAACCUUGCUGAAGCUUUCAACUCAAGGAUCAAGAAAUACAAGGGGCUUCACAUAGUAGACUUGUGUGACAAGAUCAGGCAGUACAUUAUGCAGAAAUUUGAUAUAAGGAACAUGUUUGUCAUUGAUCAUUUUGAAGGUCAUCUCAUUGUUACGUCUGUGAUGAAGGCCUUAAUGGCAAAGACAAAAGGUUUAGAGAUGAGCUUGAUUAGAAGAAGCCCAAGAGAGGCCGAAGUUACUGCUACUUAUAGAGAAAAAAGAGAAUGGAGGUACGGUGUUGACUUACAGUAGUGGUCUUGUUGUUGCAGACAAUGGCAAGUAACUGGUAAGCCAUGUAUCCAUGUUAUGUUCUUUAUCACUUCUCUUAGAGGUGAAGCUAGUGGAAUUGAUCAGUAUGUGCACAAGUUUAAUUCUCUGGAGAAAUUCAGAGCUACUUAUGUUGUCAACCUUCCAUCUCUAGAAGGCAAGCAAUACUGGGAAUUAUGAAUCCAGGAUUUAAACUUUGUGCUCCAGUUCAAAACACAACACCUGGCAGUCCUAGGAGAACUAGAAUUAGGUCCAGUAGUGAAGGAAAAGGACUAGGGACUAGGAAGAAAAAAUGUGGCAGGUGUGGAGGACUAGGACACCAUGCCAACAAGUGAAAAAAUUCAGUUGAUGCAGCUUUUGGUGAAGAUGAACACUAGGGAGCACAAAAUGCAGAAGAGCGAGCACUUUAAGUGGCAGUAGUGGAAGAAUAAGAUGGAACAGAUGCAGAAGAUCCGCCACAAGAGCCACCACAAGCUAGUGUACUCGGGUGAUGUUUAUGUAUCUUUGUGUAUUUAUGUUUUUUCAUGCAUUGUCAUCUAAAAGUUGACAUGCUUGCACUUUUCACAGCCCAAGAAAGAAUUAUAAGAGGGCAGAAGUUAGAGGAGCUUCUCCAGCUAAGAAGCACACGAUAACAAUUGAAGUUCCUGGUGUGCUAGCCCCCAACCCAGCAAAAAACACUAGAAGAAAAUCAAGGCUAGUCCCCAAUCUAGUUGAGAACACCAGGAGCAAAAAACUCAAGUUUUAGUUGUUCAUUUGCACUUGCUGGUGACUGUUUGAGAUGACUUUAUGUUGAACUAGUAUUGUCACUUGUUGUUAAACUACUGUUUGAGGUGUCUUCAUGUUGAGCUAGUAGGUGACUUGAUGAACUAUUGUUGAACUACUAUGGGUGAUGAACUAGUUUGAAGUUGUUGAACUUGUUUGAUCAUAUGUGAUGCUUGCCAUGUCAUGAUUUAAUUUGAAGUUGUUGAACUUUAACCUAUUAUGUCAUCUAUCAAUAUGAACCAAAUAUUUGGUCAUCUCACUAGUCAUAUAUCAAUAUGAACCAAACUGUAGAAAUUUAGAACACCAAAUAGGACAAAAUGGCAUUACAUUAAGAUUGGUACAUUACAAAGUUCAUCUCAUGCACUACAACAAGAGCAAACAUACUUGCUUCAUUUAGUAGCUUGAUUCUCUGAAAACACUAAGAAGGCCACAGCUACAACACAUACAACAAUUCUAGUAAAUAACACUGCACAAACAUUGAGCAUCUCAUCUCUCUCCUUCAGUUUCUUCUUCAAAGCAUGGUUCUUCUUUGUCAGCUCCAUAUUUUCCCUCUACAAUUUCUGAGACUUGAUCCAGCUACGUUCAAUCUGUGCAUGUAGAUCAUCAAAUGCAAGGGCCACACGUAGUUGAGGAGGAGGGUCAACCCAAACCACCCACUUGCACUCAUGUGGCAACUAAUUAGAUGAAAAAAUUAGAAAUUUCAAUAUAACAGCAACCUCUCAAAUUGACAAGAAACUCACUACAUCAAGAGGGCAUCCCAAAAAUCAUCGGCCAACGCUAGCCCCUCCCCAAGCCACACGACGAGCAAGAACUAGGCCAUGUCCACGACAACAGUGCUUAGAUCUAGUAUCCAAGCCAGAAAAUGAUUCGUCCAGGUGAUGGUACUCCGAGACGAGCUCCACCUUCACCAUCCCAUCGAUAUAAAUUAGCAGAAAAUCAAAAAAAAAAUACCCAAAUCAGAGAAACCCUAGAACGAGGGGGUGAAAUGUUGGGGAACGUCGCAUGGGAAACAAAAAUUUUCCUACGCGCACGAAGACCUAUCAUGGUGAUGUCCAUCUACGAGAGGGGAUGAGUGAUCUACGUACCCUUGUAGAUCGUACAGCAGAAGCGUUAGUGAACGCGGUUGAUGUAGUGGAACGUCCUCACGUCCCUCGAUCCGCCCCGCGAACAAUCCCGCGAUCAGUCCCACGAUCUAGUACUGAACGGACGGCACCUCCGCGUUCAGCACACGUACAGCUCGACGAUGAUCUCGGCCUUCUUGAUCCAGCAAGAGAGACGGAGAGGUAGAAGAGUUCUCCGGCAGCGUGACGGCGCUCCGGAGGUUGGUGAUGACCUUGUCUCAGCAGGGCUCCGCCCGAGCUCCGCGGAAACACGAUCUAGAGGAAAAACUAUGGAGGUAUGUGGUCGGGCAGCCGUGAGAAAGUCGUCUCAAAUCUGCCCUAAAAGCCCCAUAUAUAUAGGAGGAGGGAGGGGGACCUUGCGUUGGGGUCCAAGGGAACCCCAAGGGGUCGGCCGAGCCAGGGGGGAGGACUCUCCCCCCCCCCAAACCGAGUCCUACUUGGUUUGGUGGGAGGGAGUCCUUCCCCCUUCCCACUUCUUCCUCUUUUUUUUUUCCUUCCUUUGAUUUUUCUUCCUUGGCGCAUAGGAUUUGGUGGGCUGUCCCACCAGCCCACUAAGGGCUGGUGUGACCCCCACAAAUACCUAUGGGCUUCCCCGGAGUGGGUUGCCCCCCUCCGGUGAACUCCCGGAACCCAUUCGUCAUUCCCGGUACAUUCCCGGUAACUCCGAAAACCUUCCGGUAAUCAAAUGAGGUCAUCCUAUAUAUCAAUCUUCGUUUCCGGACCAUUCCGGAAACCCUCGUGACGUCCGUGAUCUCAUCCGGGACUCCGAACAACAUUCGGUAACCAACCAUAUAACUCAAAUACGCAUAAAACAACGUCGAACCUUAAGUGUGCAGACCCUGCGGGUUCGAGAACUAUGUAGACAUGACCCGAGAGACUCCUCGGUCAAUAUCCAAUAGCGGGACCUGGAUGCCCAUAUUGGAUCCUACAUAUUCUACGAAGAUCUUAUCGUUUGAACCUCAGUGCCAAGGAUUCGUAUAAUCCCGUAUGUCAUUCCCUUUGUCCUUCGGUAUGUUACUUGCCCGAGAUUCGAUCGUCAGUAUCCGCAUACCUAUUUCAAUCUCGUUUACCGGCAAGUCUCUUUACUCGUUCCGUAAUACAAGAUCCCGCAACUUACACUAAGUUACAUUGCUUGCAAGGCUUAUGUGUGAUGUUGUAUUACCGAGUGGGCCCCGAGAUACCUCUCCGUCACACGGAGUGACAAAUCCCAGUCUUGAUCCACACUAACUCAACUAGCACCUUCGGAGAUACCUGUAGAGCAUCUUUAUAGUCACCUAGUUACGUUGCGACGUUUGAUACACACAAAGCAUUCCUCCGGUGUCAGUAAGUUAUAUGAUCUCAUGGUCAUAGGAAUAAAUACUUGACACGCAGAAAACAGUAGCAACAAAAUGACACGAUCAACAUGCUACGUCUAUUAGUUUGGGUCUAGUCCAUCACGUGAUUCUUCCAAUGACGUGAUCCAGUUAUCAAGCAACAACACCUUGUUCAUAAUCAGAAGACACUGACUAUCAUUGAUCAACUGGCUAGCCAACUAGAGGCAUGCUAGGGAUGGUGUUUUGUCUAUGUAUCCACACAUGUAAAUGAGUCUUCAUUCAAUACAAUUAUAGCAUGGAUAAUAAACUAUUAUCUUGAUACAGGAAUUAUAAUAAUAACUCUACAUUUAUUAUUGCCUCUAGGGCAUAAUUCCAACAAAGCAUUCCUCCGGUGUCAGUGAGUUAUAUGAUCUCAUGGGCAUAGGAAUAAAUACUUGACACGCAGAAAACAGUAGCAACAAAAUGACACGAACAACAUGCUACGUCUAUUAGUUUGGGUCUAGUCCAUCACGUGAUUCUCCUAAUGACGUGAUCCAGUUAUCAAGCAACAACACUUUGUUCAUAAUCAGAAGACACUGACUAUCUUUGAUCAACUGACUAGCCAACUAGAGGCUUGCUAGGGACGGUGUUUUGUCUAUGUAUCCACACAUGUAAAUGAGUCUUCAUUCAAUACAAUUAUAGCAUGGAUAAUAAACGAUUAUCUUGAUACAGGAAUUAUAAUAAUAACUAUAUUUAUUAUUGCCUCUAGGGCAUAAUUCCAACAUGAAAUGUGAAUGGAGUGCUUCACUUACCUCUACGACACUAGAACCAGCCGCCGUCGACGAGUUCGACGACGGGACGCUCGGCGUCCGCAUCUUCUCCUCCCGCUCAGGCCUCUCCCACGGUGGUUGUUGAUCUGUUCUUCACAAGCUCUCCCACUCUCUGUUUAUUUGUGCAAGUGAGCUCGAGGAGGACGAAGGGGUAAGGGAGCAGUGAACAUAGGGGCAAAAAUGUCCAAAACCUAGUCAUGUAGGUAGUCGAUUAAUGAGAAAGCAUGUGUUUCAUAAAGGGUACAAGUGUCUUCAUAAAGGAGCGACUGGGCAUGAGAGGUCGUCACCGUCGUGAGAAGUUUCUGCAACAAUACCUACGUUGUAGAAGUUCCCGCAACACCAACUUUGUUGCGGCGGUGGAAGACGUAGCACGUCCGCACGAUGAUGCUAUAUCCAACGACUCGUAAUCGGGCCGAUCUUUUAAAAAGAUCGUCCGAUGAACGCGUAGCACUGCCCAUUGUUUAUACAAAGAAGAAAAUAAAUCUACUGCUUUCGUUUCACUUGUAUACCAUGGCAAAGUCCGCAAGGGCACGACCGACGCCUCUCCACCGCGGCAUCUCGACAUCAUGAUAUGAGAGAUACUCGUCCGCCUGCCCCCCAAAGCCCUGCUUCUCUGUCGUGCCUUUUGCCGCACCUGGCACCGUGCCACCUUAGGCCGCGGCUUCCUCCUGGCCCGCCAUGGCCGCCAGCCCUCCCUCCCCAUCCUCUGCGGCCACGAUGCACACCCCGAUGCGGCCAAAACAUUCUCAUCAAACACCAUAUCACGAGAGAUAUAUAUGCGGUUAGAGGGAACAUGAAGACAUUUGUACCCUUUAUGAAGAGAACUAUAGCCAAGAAACAUGCACUGUUUAGAUCGAAAUCCAAAUUUGCGUUGAUUGUAUGGACGAAGAUGUGGCCAACAAGCACACCUAAAAACUUUGAAGAACGUAUAAUCAGGGAUUUCAUUCAACAAAAGUUCAAGAGGUGUUUUCAUGUGACAGAGUCGUGUAGAUAGUCGAUNNNNNNNNNNNNNNNNNNNNNNNNNNNNNNNNNUGUAGGUAGUUGAUACUGCAACAAAAGACCUUCCAACGGCGCCAGAAACACGUGUUGACGGGAGACUUUUCUUGUCUUGAUUCUCCUCAGCAACGGCACCAGGAAUCCUUCUGCUACGGCUACGCCUUUAGGGACUUCCUAGGCAAAUAUGCAAAGGAUUUCCCCGUGGCCUUGGAGCCUUGCGUUGGUGUUCCCUCGAAGCGGAAAGGGUGAUGUAGCGCAGCGGUGGUAAGUAUUUCCCUCAGUUUUGAGAACCAGGUAUCGAUCCAGUGAAGGAGUAUCACAAGUGCCUGCACAAACACAAAGAACCUACUCCCAACGCUACGAAGGGGUUGUCAAUCCCUUAUAGAUUGUUCAAAAAAUGAGAACUGAAAGCAACAAAGUAACAAAGUAAAGUAAAAGCGAAGGUGUAAACGAUAGAUGUGAAUAGACUCGGGGGCCGUAGUGUUUACUAGUGGCUUCUCUCAUGAAAGCAAGUAGACGGUGGGUGAACAAAUUACCGUCGAGCAAUUGAUAGAACCGCGCAAAGUCAUGACGUCAUCUAUGGCAAUGAUUAUAUCUAUAGGCAUCACGUCCAAAACAAGUAGACCGAUACUUUCUGCAUCUACUACUAUUACUCCACACGUCGACCGCUAUCCAGCAUGCAUCUAGUGUAUUAAGUCCAAAAGAACAGAGUAGCGCCUUAAGCAAGAUGACAUGAUGUAGGUGGACAAUCUCAUAUCAACGGCAGAGCCCACCUUGUUACCCUUGAUGGCAACUACUCAAUGUGUGCCUUGCUGCCCCUACUGUCACUCGGAAAGGUCACCACAUGGUAAGAACCCAAAACCAAGCACUUCUCCCAUUGCAAGAAUCAUAGAUCUAGUUGGCCAAACAAAACCCAAGACUCGGAGAGACUUACAAGGAUAUCAAAUCAUGCAUAUAAGAAAUCAACAAAGACUCAAAUAUAUAUCAUAGAUAAUCUGAUCACAAAUCCACAAUUCAUCGGAUCUCGACAAACACACCGCCAAAGAAGAUUACAUCAGAUAGAUCUCCAUGAAGAUCAUGGAGAACUUUGUAUUGAAGAUCCAAGAGAGAGAAGAAGCCAUCUAGCUACUACCUACGGACCCGUAGGUCUGAAGUGAGCUACUCACGAGUCAUUGGAGGGGCAAUGAUGAUGAUGAUGAAGCCCUCCAACUCCAAAGUCCCCUCCGGCACGGCACCGGGAAGGGUCUCCAGAUGAGAUCUCGCGGAAACGGAAGCUUGCGGCAGCGGAAAAGUAUUUUCGUGGAUCCCUUGAUUUUUUCUCUCUGAUUUUUAGGGAAUAUAUAGGCGCAAGAUCUAGGUCAGGGGGGUGCCACGGAGGCCACAAGCCUGCCCACCGCCGCCUCCCCCUUGGUGGCGGAGUGGGGGCUUGUGGGCUCCCUGUAGCCCUCCUGGUUUGGCCCACAGGCCCCCUGAUCUUAUUCCGUUCGGGAAAAAUCAUUUCGGGGAUUUUAUUCUAUUUGGACUCCAUUCCAAAAUCAGAUCUGAAAAGAGCCAAAAACACAGAAAAAACAGGAACUGACACUUUGCACUGAAUUAAUAAGUUAGUCUCAAAAAAGAUAUAAAAGGUACAUAAAACAUCCAAAGAUGACAAGAUAACAGCAUGAAACCAUCAAAAAUUAUAGAUACGUUUGAGACGUAUCAGUAGUCGAUUUAUGAGGAAGCAUACGGUGGAAAACGCAUCACUCCAAAACCGAAAAGGAACUGAGGCAUGAGCAAGCAAAGCAAGACCAGUCUUAACUAUAUGACGAUGCUUAGACUCGGCUACACCAUUCUGUUGGUGUGUAUGAGGACAAGACACCCGAUGUGUAAUUCCAAGCUUAUUAAAGAAUGUAUUGAGGUUGUGAUACUUACCACCCCAAUCAAACUACACAUGAAUAAUUUUGUGGCUAAGUAGACGCUCAACAUGUGCUUGGAAUUGAAAGAAAACAUUAAACACAUCGGACUUGCGCUUAAGAAGAUAAAGCCAAGUGAACCGGCUAUAAGCAUCAAUGAAACUAACAUAGUAGUUAUGAGUACUAACGGAAGUUUGGGCAUGCCCCAUACAUCGGAAAACACAAGCUCAAGUGGUUUAGUGACUACAUGACUCGACUCAUAAAAAGGAAGCUCAUGACUCUUGCGUUGCUGACAGGCAUCAGAAACUGCAUCAACAUAUUUAUUGGGCACAACUGGGAGGUCAUGACGACGAAGAACGUGGCGAAUGAUGGGACCGGAAGGAUGACCAAGGCGAGCAUGCCAAUGUGAUGGAGACACACGAACACCACUGAAGACACUAGGAGUAGGUGGCACAUCAAGCACAUAGAGACCAUUAUUGCGCAGUCGACCUCUAAGGAGUACGUCCCUCGAGUCCCGAUCCUUACCAAAAAAAUGAAAGGGAUGAAACUGAGCAAGAACAUUAUUGUCACGAGUAAGUUUACCACUGAAGACACUAGGAGUAGGUGGCACAUCAAGCGCAUAGAGACCAUUAUUGCGCAGUCGACCUCUAAGGAGUACGUCCCUCGAGUCCCGAUCCUUACCAAAAAAAUGAAAGGGAUGAAACUCAGCAAGAACAUUAUUGUCACGAGUAAGUUUAGGAACAAAUAAAAAACUACAUGAAAUGGAGGGUACUCGAAGGACAUUAAGAAGGUGUAUUUGUGUGGAUCGACGAGUAAGAAGGGAUGUGUGACCAAUAUGUGAGAUGUGCAUACCUUCCCCGUUUGCAGUAUGAACCUGAUCAUGUCCACGGUACGGGUCCUAUGUCGAGAGCUUUCCCAUAUCGCUCGUCCGGUGGUUGGUAGCUCCCAUAUCAAUGUACCUGGAUGCAUCAACCGGAUAGGAAGGAGUGUGACCAUGCUCAUGACUUGCCAAAGCAGCCUGCUUCUCAUUCCCUUUUCCAUUGUUCCCCGUGCCCAGAAAAUCCUUCUUGAAGCGAUGAUGGCAGCAGGAAGCAAGAUGGCUAUCAAGACCACAAAGCUGGCAGGGAACUUGAGCCCCACACGAAGGACAAAAGGCGCGUACACAACCACCCGUGGUGGUAGUGGUGUUCCUCGGGGCUGAAGUGGCCGGCGGUUUGCCCCAGCUGGCGGCAGCUUGCCCCUGCCGCGCAUGGCGGCGUUGGCAGCAUGUAAGCUCGGUGUAGAUCGGCGAGCCUGGAUGCGCUGCUCCGUAGCAAGAAGUCGCGCGUACAGCUCACGCGGCUGGAUGGGAGUGCCACAACCAUUGAUAUUUUCCACCAAAUUAUCAUAGUCGUCACCCAGUCCGUUCACCACAUACGAGGUGAACUCCUUCGGCCCAAGAACCUUGCCAAUGGAAGCAAGUGUGUCCACCAUGCCCGUCACCUUGUUGAAGUAAUCGCUAACGAUGAGACCAUUAAGCUUCACUUCCCCAAGCGCAGUGCGAAUAGCAUGAGCCUGUGCCUGAGACUGCAAAGAAAAGCUCGCAUGAAGGGCCAUCCAUGCGUCCCGAGAUGUGGCGGCAAAGAUGACCAACGAUGAGAUCCCCUCUGUAAGAGAGAACUGGAUGGCGGAGAGGAUGGCUUGAUCUUGAGCCACCCACGCAUGAUGCCCUGGAUGAUACGGCGGAGGACACGACAGAGUGCCAUCAACAAAGCCCUGCAGGUAGCGACUGCGGAGAAGUGGCAAGACCUGAGCACGCCACGAUAGGUAGUUCUCGGUCAUCACCUUCACGGGUAUGAGUUGCGUGAAGUAGAACGACGCAGCAGGGGCACCCUGAUCCGAAGAUGGCAAAGGGGCAUAGCCGCCCGGGGGUGACACCACAAGAUCCAUCGAUGGACUGUCGUACGGCGCAGCGUACGGUCCAAAAGAUGGCACGACAGCCAAGACAGGUAGAUAGCCAGAGGUCACCGGAGCCGGGGACGUAGGGCGUACUCUGUCAUGGGUUGGCAGGAGCAACGCCAUAGGAGGCAUCCCCGGACGACUUCACGUGUGGAGCACCUGCCGGAAGAUGCUGGUACGCCCACUACGGCGCGCCCGUGGGCGGGGCAGGGCCCCCGUACGCCUGUGGGGCAGGAGCGAAGGUGUAGGGUACCGACGGGUAGGCGGCACGAUAGGCUAUAGCCGCGGGCGGGGCGGGCCCCCCGUAUGCCUGCGAGGCAGGGCGGGAGUGCAUGGUGCCGGUGGGUAGGCCGGACCAAAGGCCGUCAACGGCGGGACAACAUCGGGGUGGCCCGAGUCGGUUAUGAUCUUGGACGGUGGCGGGGCGGCCAUGGAGACGUCGGGCAAAGGAACCAGCGGCCUCGACGCCAAAAAUGGAGAGGUCGGGGCGGCCUGAGUGGCAGGGGCUGCCCAGACAGCACGUGGGGCGCCCGAGCCGGUGGAAAUCACGGCGACGGCGAUGCCCGAUGCAAAAGCCAUGAGGCGGCGGCGGCGGAAGCAAGGAGAACGAUCUAACCUAAUCGGAUACCCUGUAUCCCCUCCGUCCCAAAAUAAGUGUCUUAAGCUUAGUAUAAUUUUGUACUAGAGCUAGUACAAAGUUGAGAUAGUUAUUUUGGGACGGAAGGAGUAAAACAAUGUUUGGUAAGACUGCUCGACUCCCAAUAGAGAUGUGGCUAUUUCAUAUAUAUAUAUAUGGUACACAAGAUACGUGGAUAUACACGGAAACUACACAAAUACAUAGUCUAACAGUUCUUAUAAAAAUCUUAUGUUUAGGAACAGAUGAAUAUUCUAUUCUACUCCCUCAGUACCGUAAUACAUGACAUUUUAGCAGUUCAUUUGAGCUGUUGAAACGUCAUAUAUCUUUACCUAAUAAUAAAGAGGCUAUUGCUUCUGUCGGAAAACCCGUCGCGUCAGUUUUACAGACAAGCCCUCGUGUCUUAUGGUAAUCAACCCGCAGUCCUGUUUUAUGUGACAUAACAUCUCGUUUUUUCAGAAACACCCCCUAUCCAAUCCAGAUCUAGACCGUGUUCAUCCCCUUCCUCUUAUCCACUCGGUCUUGUCGGCAGCGGAAACGACUACGGUGCGGCGGCGCGGGAGGAUGGAGGAUGCCUUGCGGCCUUCCUCUUAUCCACUCCCAGGUGAACCCGUCGAUCGAAUCCACACAACGUCGUGCUCGACGCGAGCGUGCUCUCGCCGAUGCAUGUGACCGAAUCUGGACAGCGCCGCGCUUGACGUGGGUGUGCUCUCGCCGGCGUCGCGGACCGAAUCCGGACAGCGACGCGCUCUACACGGGUUUGCUCUCGUCGGCGCCACAGACCAAAUCCGGGCAGCGCCGCGCUCGAUGCGGGCGUGCUCUCGCCGGCGUCAUGUGUGCUGUCAUAGACGCCCCUGCAUCUCCUCAUUCUUUGGUUUUUGACGGAGAAAAAAUGCAUCUUGGUACCGGUCGGGAGAGCAUGGAGGAGUGCGGCGCUGCUGGUCAGAGUGGCAGCAAAGGAGUACACUGCUUUGGUUCUACUCCUAUGUUGGCCUCUAUGCCCAGGAUUGAAAGGGCUUCAUUGACUUCCUCAGCGAUGUGAGGCGCUUGUGUGGCUGCUCCAUGGCAAGUCUCGUGAGUUGCGAUGCUAGGUAAUCAAUUGUAUGUGUUUUACUAAUGACAUGGUUCAUAAUAAGAUCUGUAACAUAGAGUUCCCGUGUAUACCGAAUACAUUUUUCAAUAAUGGACAAUGCUUUAUCUUCAUUGAUUUUACUGAUUUUUGGUGCUUCUUAUGCUUCUACUCGUUGUGUAGUAAUGUCUAAGAGUUUAUCUAUUGAGUAACCAAUACAAGGUUCAAUGCUUUGGGUGGUGCUUGCCCUUUUUAAGUUGAUUAUUAUGUAUGGCAUGUUUGUUUCACCAUACUCUAAAAUUCACUACUGCCUAGGUUGGGGCUUUGAUUGUGAUCCCAAUACGCUUGUUUUCUCGGCUGCUGAUAGCACAACCUUGCAUGAAUUUCCUUUUGGGACAGUACUUUUGUGUGCUUCAGAUAUAUUUUUCACCAUCUUUGGUUUCCCUUCAGCUGCAUUGUUGAUGAUGAAAGGGUUGCCCAAAAGGUCUUGGACAGUACACUUUGGAGAUUUCUGGGCGUCAAUGAAGUUCUUGUGGGAAUUGUUAUGGAAUACUUUGAAAUUAUCCUACAAAAAAAAGAUCACAUUAAAAUUUUAUUUAUCAUUUUUUGGGAGCACCAAUGCUUAUGUACAAUGAAAACUUGUUAGAUCUUCGUAUACAUUGUAUUUUUAACACCAACUAAUUGUUUCUAUUUUUGGGGUAUCUUGGGAGACAUAACUAUACUUCGAACCUUGGCCAGAUUCUACCACCUCUUGUUUUAAAACUUUCGUGAAAUAAUUUCAUGAACAUGCAAAGAUGGCCAACUUUGCUUUGCAAACAAAGGUAGACAUGAUAAAUAUAUUUAUCCCUCGCUGAACUAUACUGAAUUUUGUGGUAUUUGUUGGAGCUUUUAAAAAGUUAUGCACACCGUUGUAGUGAUAUUUAAGAUAUCAAAUAUGGCCAAAUAAUUCUGCUUCAGCAUACAUACAUGGACUCUUUUCAGAUGGUGUUGUCUUGGCAAAGCUUUACCUGAGAGAUUAUAUUAUUAAUUGUUAUUCAAAACAUUUAGUGUUCAGUUAACAUUAGUUGUGAUCUGAACAUCAAAAGUGUGGGGCGGUUGAGCUGAGAAAUACGUAACAUUAUGUCAAUGAUUAGUGGUUAGACAUUUUUAUUUAUCCUAUUUACAUGUCCACCAUGCUAACCAUAGGUUAUAUGGAACCAAGACCUUUGGGAUGUACAAGAGCAAAUUUCUUAUUUCUAUAACAAAAAUAAUAAUAUGUCAGCUACUUUGUAUCAGGUAUACUUAUUGGUUUCAGUUAUGAUGCACGGUAGUUAAUUCUUUAAAAGUAGAUGGAGAAACAAAAAUUUAACUGAGAACAUGGAUACUUCCUUGGUGUGUCUAUGCAUAUGUCUCUUCGCUGAAACCCUCAAGUGAGUACGAAUCAAAUGAACGAUGGCCCAAGAGCUGAGGUGCAUUUGAAACUGUUAUAUUCCUCUCAAAUUCAGCCAACCGGAGUAUCCUCCUCUCCCUUCUAGAGGUUCUACAGUUCAAUCCUUAUUUUAUUGGAUCUGGUGCAUGCAUUUUAUUGCAUCAGGAUGUGUAAGUAGUUAGUAAGUUUUCUGCUGAUUACCAGGAUCACUGACUUAUGAGAGAACUCUUACUAAUGAAAGUGUAUAUGCAGUGAGUUCUAUAGUUUUCAUAUUAUUAUUUUAUCAAAAGACAGUUGACCAGUUUUUGUUCUGUAAUAAUCGAUCAUACAUUCAUAUAGUUUUGAAGGAUGUGAGAUUUGAUGUUGUCUAUAAGUAUGCAUGCUUGGGACAAAGGUGAAGGAAAUAUUAUGUGAGAUUAGUAGGGUGUAUUUUUACUUGGUGUGUUCAUGUAUAUGAUUUUACUGGUCGUAAAGACUAGAGAUAAACAACAUGAACAUGGUGAUGCUCGGUUGGAUGCAAUGUAGGGAUGUAAAUUGGGUGUGUUUAAUUAUGAUCUAAAAGUUCAGCAAAGUGAAACUCGGAUCAUUACCUGUAUGUACAUCUUUUAGAAUGGUGAGUUGUAUGUUACUCUGUUCCAUGUACAAAUAAUUUUUCUUAGCCUGUUUUCGUUACCAUGACAGUGUUCUCGUAACGUAAUCUCCCGUUGCAACGCACCGACAAUUGUCCUAGUUAUAAUAUAAAGGUAGUACUCCCUCCUUUUCGGUUUAUAGGGUUCAUCUCAAAAUUUUCAGAUUUUCAUUAUAUUAGGCUCAUUUUGAGUCUAAGUGAGUUAAAGUGCUUUGAGUCUCAUGCCAUAUUUAAUUCAUAAAGUUUAAAGAAAGGAGAUGAGUGGCUAUGCAUGCAUCGUUUUCUACAUCCACCAUGCAAGUCUAAUGAAAGGAAGGAUGCUAUACUUAUUGCCUUGGAAAUUGCAUAUGUGAGAAAUAUUGCAUUGGCUAGUUAAAACUAAUGUCUCACAAUUCAUCUUGGUUGAUGAAAUUUCAGAUUUGAGUCCUAUAAACCCGAAAGAAGGGAGUAUUAGAGAAAAAUAGCUUAUCCACGAGCGGCUCUGCGGUUCUAGUAGUACCACGCACGCAGGCGAUAAAUUUGAUGGGGGUAGAAAACUAGGCCAAUAUAUUGUUUCCAACGCGAACGAAACGUGUCGGUUUCCAUCUCGCUGUCGGCGUCACCACUCCCCACCCAAACGGACGGGGAGCGAGCUCUCCUACUCAUACACGAUUGCCCAUACACGAGUACUGUAUCACUAAACUACUCCGCCAGAGGACCUAGCAGACCGUUGUUAUAUGUAUCUCUCUCUCUGACACGUGCGGUCAGAGGCACCCAUGGCUCACUUGUCAGUGACAGGAGCUCGCUGUAGAACGUGUGUCAAGGCGCGUAGUAAAGUAGUCUAUGGAGCACGCCGGUGCCUUUGUUUAACGCCGAUAGAGACGACCUUCGGGGAGGGGGGAAUUUGUCGUGGACGUCCUCCGGCGAUUGGCAAAUCGCAUCAGCGUCUCGGUGAACGGAGGUUGUUGGUUCGUUGGUUGGUUGCUGUUAUCCUUAUCUUCACGUCUGAGCUCACUGCAUCUUCCACGGCCGCCGGGUCAAACAUAGAGUUCCAGUCACAAUAAUUGUAUGCUAAAGAGAAAGAGUUGUUAGGAGGAGAUGCUUUUAACUUUUAAUUUCAUGUCUAAAGUCACUAGUAGGAAGAGAAAAAUAAAUAUAUACUACUCCCUUCGUUCCUAAAUAUAAGACCUUUUAGAAAUUGCACUAUAAACUACAUACGGAUGUAUUUAGACAUAUUUUAAAGUGUAGAUUUAUUCAUUUUGCUCCGUAUGUAGUCUCCUAGUGAAAUCUCUAAAAUGUCUUAUAUUUUGUAACGGAGGGAGUAGUAGGAAAAGAAAAAUAAAUAUAUACUAAUGAUAAGAAUAAGAGCAUAUUCAAUGGCAACGCGUAAAUUUCUUCUCGCAUCCGUUUGCAAACAGGGACCAAUCCAUAGACACGAAUGAGACAUGACGAUGUUCCAACGCUAGCCGCAUAUAUCCGGCCAACAAUUCAUACCAAUAGGAUGAAAUUCAAUCCAUCAAAACAGAUUUCAAUCAAGUUCGUAUAAUUUAACUAAAAAACUAAAAAAACACCUAAACCCUAUACCACACGACCACCUUGCACGCGUGGCCGCCCUACCCUGCUGCACCGUUGUCUUCAUCAGUGUCGUCAUCGUCGUCGUGGUCCCUCCAGCAGCGUAACGACGCCGCGGGGCGUGGCAGCCUUGUCCGGCGGAUGCGUGCCACUCAUGGAGGAGCCGCUCCACCUCCUACUGCGUCAUGCGGAGUGCCGCUGCGACCUUGCCGCGACCGGUGUUGGUUGAGCAGUUGCUAAGCGACCACUCCUUGCCGAUCUUGGCAAGCUCGCCCUCAAGGCGUCGGCGACGCCUGGCGGUCGUCCCCGUGGUGGUGAUAGGUCAAGCGCCCACGCCACGGCGACGUCUGGGUCACUGCAGACUCAUUCUGGCGCACAUCCGUCUUGGCAAACGCGGAGCGGAGGCCAUCAUUGUGCCAGUCGUACCUUUUCUCCUGCCGCGUCAUGCGCUCGGCCUCGGACACCAUGGCCCAAGAGCCGGAGGGAUCACCAAAACCUUCGCCUCUCGGGUAGUGGAGGAUGUGGCCACGAGCCUUGGCGAUCGCGGGCGGCACCGCCUCUUUUAUCUGAGGGCGAUGGCGUCGAGGUGAUGGUGAUGGCCCGUGGAUCCAUGCGUAGCGGUUGCGUUGCGCAGCAAGGACAAUGCCUGCUUCCGUAUCACGCCGCGGAGGCGCUAGGGACGCGAGCUCCUGUUUCACGGAGCUGCCGAUGUGAAGGUUGCUAUUGCGCAGUGAGGAUGUCGGCUCGUCGUUCACCUGCCGGAGUGGGGAUGCCGGCUCGUGCUUAACGUGGACCCGCGGCGGGAACGCUGGCCCCUCCUUCAUGUGUGCCAUUGUUGGUGGCGCUGGUCCCAUCUGAUGGAGCGAACGCUUCGUGAUGAUCUUCAUCCAUUGGACGAAUUCUUCGCCCGUAACCGCCGCCUCGGACAACACACGUGACCGUUGCUACGACUGCUCCUUCUCGUUGUCGGACGAGAUGACUAUCUCCUCCUUGCCGGAAGAACCCGCCGUCGUGGAUGCCGAUGGCCCCGGUGAGCAAGGGUGGCGGCGCCAAUAUCCGCUCGACGAUCUGCUCCCAUCGGUCCCGCUUGCCGGUGUGGAUAACUAGGACUUCGACAUCGCCACUAGUUGGGCUCGAAGAGAAUGUAAAGGUCGAAGAGAAGGAAAGAAUCGGCGAGGGGGUGGAGGACGGUGUGGUUCUUUGGAUGAGCCUGAGAGCGGCUAAAAUAGCUGCGGCCCUGCCAUGCGAUGGGGCGGUCAGCCUGUUUUAAUGCGGCGCAACUGCCGGAGUUGGUUUCUCGGGACGCGGCGUCCGCAUUGAAGUGGCGAUGCCCGAGAGGUCGCGUUCGUCUACACUGCCUUCCCGUACAGUCAAAUCGUGGCUUCAAUGACGACCACUGCAUGUUCUAUGGAGGCAUGAAUAUGGCACGCGGAAGCGACGCGACGCGUGGGAUGGAAAACACGGGAAGGACGGGUGGGUUUUUUUGGUGGGCCAAGGCGAAAGGUUUGAGGGUCGGCGUUGGAGAUGCUCUAAUGAGGUGAUACAUGGGUAAGGACAUUUUUUUGCAAAGAAGACCCACAUCUAUUAUAAAGGUUCAUAAGAAUAAAACCCUAAACAUAAUAAUAAAAAUACAUCGAGGACCUCGUGCCAUCGAACAGCCACUAUCGCCGUCAGAAUGAGCACUAGGCGUCGUUAUCGUUGCAUCCUACUGAAGUCGGCUUGACCUUAUUGAUGAUAGCCAAGAAGUCUAUACGCAUGUGCCCCUAAAGACAAACACCCCUAUCCACAGUUGUUGCCAUAGAACCCUUAAUCGAUUUGAAGCACCUCACACCAAAUUUGACCGAUGCGCACACACGACAAGAAAAGCCUAACCUUGUCGCCUUAAGAAUAUGACAAGAAUAUACAUCGAAGCUCCAUCACUCCGUUCCAAUGGAUGAACUCAAGUAGGAUAGCAGUCCGGAAGACCAAUUCAAAGAUGAAGCACCGCUAUCCGCUAGAACAUCACCCUUGCAAGAAAAAAAAAACCUAAGAUGAACUACUAGUCGGAACCGAGGCACUGAAACCCCCUCCCGGCCAUCGACUGCCUCAGCAACUGGUACAUGGCAGGUGGAUCCACGUGCUCGUCGAAGUUUGAAGGGGAUGAGUACUCUAGCCACCGCAUAUGGGAGAGGGAAANNNNNNNNNNNNNNNNNGCCACCGCAUAUGGGAGCGGGAAAGAGGAACCCUAACGGGAUGUGUUUUUUUGUGGUGUAAAUGGGGAUAAAAAUCUAUUGUUAUUUCUACAAAAAAGAACAGUUUGGGCACUAGAAUGUUUGAUAUUAGAUUAGUUAUUGAUAUACUUGAUGUGUUGGAUGACAUUUACCAAAUCCUUAUGGAUAAGGUGUUUACUUUAGAGGAGACCAAAGUUAUAGUAUUUGAUAUGAAGCAUAAUAAGGCCGCUGGACCUGAGACUAGUUAUCUUCCUAUCUAAUUUGAGUUUCUUGUGCCUAUUUUGCAGUAAGUUUGUUACACCCGAGACUACUGUAUGAUGUAGUUUUACACAUAAUAUUUCCGUUUUCAUACUACUGAGGAGUCAUGUGUGCCUCUCUGGUUUGAGAUUUGGAACCCUUAAGCCUGGAUGCUGUUCAUCGUUUACUUUUCUAUUAUGAAAUGAAAUUGCAGUGACAAGCUCCUCAAAUAAAUAAUAGUAAUAAUUGUAUGCGUGUCACAUCGGAGCCAGUCGAUGCAAAUGUGGAUGAGCCGUAUUAGCCAAUCGAUGUGCAAAUUUUAGAGUGAAUAAGAGCAAGUCAACCAAAUCCUUUAUAUUGCCAAGACACUAAGUUUAUAAUUUUUUUAUUUUAUUUUUGCUUCCAUAUCACUGGGACACACAUAAGGAUCUCUCCAUGAGUGUCAGAGACACCCCAUUUACGAACCUCGAUGCUUCUUCUUCAUGUUUUUCUCUACCUCCAUUCAACUAGCAACAAUGCAACCUCCUCAAAGUCACCAUCUUGGAACAAGUCCUCAUUGCAAUCAUAUGAGGGUGAAGUAUCCUCGAAAUACUCCUGGAUGAGAGAGCUCAUCUACAUAAAUUGUGCAAUCAACACAUAUAUUUUAUAUGAUUAAAACCUAGGAAUUCAAGUUGAAAUGACCUCUUGAGCAAUUCAUCAAAUACCUUGAGUUUGUAUUGCUCUAAGGAAGGAGGGGUUGCACAGAGACUCCAUGAUGCUCCGGCCGGGGUGGAAGCCGACGGCGCAGGAUCAACGCAUACAGUUGAAGUUCUCUCAGACGGCUGGAUGACGAGAGAGAACAAGUUUGCGACAACAAAGGUCUUGUGUAGUGAGAUCCAUCGAUGCAACCAUGGUGGCGGUUGGCCAAGCCGCAACGACAACGACCAUUUGCAAACUACAUGUCGCAUUUUAUUCAGCGGGGAUCCAUGGCGUUGAGUAGAGAUGUAUGGUGACUAUUCGACGGAGAUAAGAAGAAAAAUGGUUGCAUGGCAAGGUGGUCGACAACGGGUGCUUGAAAAGAAGGCAAAACUUUCGUGAUGCUAAAAAAGUGAUGUUAGAGGGGCUUGCGUAUUUCCCCCUCUUUUCACUAUAUUGAGAAGCUAUGUGCAUAAUUUUAAUGGGUCCUCUUAACAUGUUAGAGAAAUAAGGGUUUUAGGAAUAUGCUAGAAUGACAUUUUUAUUAACUUUAGUCUCCUUCCACUCACUAUUAUAAAAUAUUUUGGAUAUUUGAAUAUGAACUACAUACGAACUGAAAUGAAUGAACAUACAAGCUAAAACGUGUCUACAUACAUCUGAUCCUGAAAAAAGAUAAAAACAUCUUAUAAUAGUGACAGAUAGCUCUACUAGUAUUUCUCUGAUUCUCUCAAUCUCCCUUUUCUCUUGACAAUAAGGGGCACCUAGAUCUCUAUUUUGAUGGCGGGAGGUGGAGGAAAGCCUAGUUUGUGUGUGUCGAAUGCCUAGCUAUAUUAGUGAUGUUGCUUGAGGUGCAACACAAUCUUCUCGGUGCCUCUCACUAGGGUUAGGUUUUGGUGUUAUGACGGUGAUAUUCAGAUGUCGGUAGAUGUGUUAUAUCAGAUAAUAGAGCCAAGUUUUUUUUUCCAACUCGACUACGUGUUGGUUUGUUCGUCGACCUAUUGGUCUCGUUGCGAGCAACCUAGUCUUGCAUAUACGUUGUUUUCAUGCGCGACCGAAUGCACAUCAGAUUAUCGGCUUUUGUCAAUGGCUGUCAACACAAAUCGGGGUGUUGCAUCUCUCGAAUCGGGUUUUUUUUCCAUACCCACCGUCCACGGUGGGUAUAUACCGUGGGACCAACAAUGCGGAGUAAAAUAUCUUUGGAUAAUCCAUGAAUCUUUGGAGGUCCCGUUUGCAAAGAGAACACCACCAAGGAGUCUAAACGGAAAAUACCUCCGUGAACAACUUCCUAUAAAGCAACACGAAGUGGAGCCGAAGCAAAGAUAACCCACCCGAAGAAGCAACCAAGAAAAUCCCCCCAAUGGAUCAUCGCCUCGUGGCCCCUCUCCUCCUCCUCGUCGGCCUCCUCCUCUCCCCGGCGCCGGCGACGGCGGCCGCGGGGGACGAGGAGCCCCUGAUCCGGCAGGUCGUGGGCGGCGCCGACCCCCUCGACAACGACCUGGAGCUCGACUCGCAGUUCGUCGGCUUCGUGCAGCGGUUCGGGAAGACGUACCGGGACGCGGAGGAGCACGCGCACCGGCUCUCCGUGUUCAAGGCCAACCUCCGCCGCGCGCGCCGGCACCAGCUGCUCGACCCGUCCGCCGAGCACGGGGUCACCAAGUUCUCCGACCUCACCCCGGCCGAGUUCCGCCGGACCUACCUGGGGCUCAAGACGACCCGGCGAUCCUUCCUGCGGGAGAUGGCCGGGUCGGCGCACGACGCGCCCGUCCU